RNAcentral lists this long non-coding RNA (78916 nucleotides) under Capsella rubella. RNAcentral's name for it is "long non-coding RNA (CRUB_LNC001106)". The stretch from base 50348 to 50419 matches the Rfam family "tRNA". The record is from RNAcentral. Lineage: Eukaryota; Viridiplantae; Streptophyta; Magnoliopsida; Brassicales; Brassicaceae.
GAGAACGAGGCCAAUUUGUUUUCAAUUUCGUAUAACCUCGUUUAUUUUGAUGUUGUUGUUUCGACAACUAUGUUACAUUUUGAUACAUGUUCAACGCUUAGUUCCUUAUUCGUAUUUUUUAAUUUCUUCGGUUAGGUUACAGUUACUCUUUCAGCAAAAAAAAAAAAAAAAAAGGUAAUUUUUGACAACAAUGUUUUGGUCGUUAUCAUCGAUCGAAAUAGUUAAAAAAAAGAAUUUUUUAUUUUUAUUUUUUAUAUAACAACAAAGAAUGAUUUUUUUUAUUUGGUCAAAUCUUUUGUUAAUAUUCUAUUACUAUAUUACACUACUGCUAAUAUAUAUUACGCAACAGUAUAAGCAUUCAUUGCUAUAUCGAGUUAUCAACCAUCAUUCAUCAAUUGUCUAUGAUAUUUCUUUUUUUGGAUAAACUAAUCAUAAAUUAACCAGAACUAGAGUUUAAAUGUCUAUGAUAAUAAAAACCCAAACGAAACAAUGGGAUAUGUAAUCCACUGCUAAUUCUCAUCACUGCCAUGCAUCCAUGACAUAGGGAGCGAUGAGCAUUGUAUUACUAUAUGUCUUCAUGUCACUAUUGUUGUGUUUGCAGUUUGCACUUUCUACCCGACAUUUGCUUUACCCACUUUAGUGGUCCUAUUUGCUCUUUCCACUAAAAUACGGGUCAGUUUCAUAAUUUCUGAAAAUAUACGGACAUCAUCCAAUAUGAUAUAUGCAAAGCCAUGGAUAUUUCAAGGGAUAUAUACUGUAUAUAGGUACGUUCAAAUUAAUGCAAAAUUCUGAUUAUAUAUAGAUUUAAAAAUUCACAUUUCACACACAUAUAUUAAAAUGAUCUUUAAGCAAUAAUUUAUCUUACAUAUAUAGUUUACUCCAAUUCAAAUAUACAAAUAUGGUAACUGAAUACUGAACUUGAGACUAUUUGGUUUGAUCAUAGAUGAAUUCUACAAGGUACGGUACAUUCGUUUAAACUUAGGGUUAUCAAUCAUAUAUAUGUACUAUACAUAUUUUAAAGGGCCUAUUAAAAAAAGGAAUCCACAAAACUAUGGACUAUAGAUCUAAAUUUGGUUAGGAGGAUGUACAAAAGAUAGUUGCGAUAACUUAAAUAUGACAACCGGACAGAAUAAUUGCGAUUACAAGUACCAUAUUUGUACACAUAGGCUACGUACAUUCUCGAUAACCAAAUAGUUUUAUCAUUCUUUAAGAAGAUUUAUACGGUGUGACGUGGUGGAAGAGGAACCACCCGAACAGGCCACAGGAGCUCUAUGAAUCAGCAGAUAAAGCGGGGUGGCCGACAAGUCGACAAUCCAAUUUAUGUGGACAUCGAACUCUCACGUUUCUUCACCCUCCACGUGCCCUCUCAUCAUCCCUACCAACCGCUUAGAUCAUUCCUCCCCAAAAUUCAACUUAACCUCUUUCCCCACCUAUUUUUAUUAUUAGGGUAAAUUUUGUUAUAUGUGUUUCCAAAUCCAUCUUUUCAAAAUAUUUUCUUUGUGAAAUUGACGUGUUAAUUAAAAAUUAGUAAGACUUGGACGAAUCAGUCAUAACUCAAACGGAAGAUAUCUAUUUUGGAAAGAAGAAAAGAUUGAUAUAGUAAGGUUUUGAACGAAAGCAUUUUACGAUGAACUGUUAUACCACUAUGACAAUUGUUAAAAAUCACUAUUCAAGAUUGAUAUUAAUAUUCGUGCAUUUGAAAGCGAUAUGUAAUAGGCUUAAGCUAAUAUACUAUAAUAAAUAAUUAUUUCAAUUUUCAAAGAUGGCUUUGUAAUUAAAAAUUGCGGCAAGUGGCAACUAUAUUUCACUGUUCAAACCUUAAACUUACAACAAAUGUUAGACGAUUAGUUUCCUUGUAGUUGAAGCAAGGGAUUUAAUUUUACCUUUUUGACAUUGCCUCCAUUAUAUUUCCAAUACAAAAGAAGUUUCUGAAAACAAUGCAAGUGAUUGAUUUCUCGAAAGCUCUUUCCUCUACGCGUAACUUCCCAUAUUCCAAAAGAAGCCUCUCGCGAAAAUACCUAUUUAUGUUUUUGUUUCAAUUUCACACGCAAAGUAAAAUUCGAUACUUAUUUAUUUUAACCACAAAAACAUAAGUACGUACUGUAAUAUCUAAGAAAUGAUUCUAGCAUGUUCAAGCAUCGUAGUUCAAUAAGAUAUAUCUAGUGGAGUACUAUAUAUGUAAUAUGUUUUAGUCUCAGUACGAGGAUAAUAUCUUAAGAUUAAUUACAAUUUGUAUAGCCGACGUAGUACGUAAUCACUAGUCAGUAGUCAUCAUCCCGUCUCAUAUGAUAUGAGAUUAGCAAUUAGUAUGUUAUUUAGACGUCUAAUUCAUUGUAUUUUUUUUUUUCAGAAAAAAAUCAUUUCAAAGGUUUAAUUACAUAAACUCAUUACAUAUCCGUUAGAAGAUAUUAACCUCUUCUUACAUACAAGAUUUCUUUUUGUUUUUUGUACAAGAAAUAAUUUGCACAACAAAAAGUUGAUUUGUUUAAAAGAAGCAAUGUAACACAAUACGAAAACAAUGGCAAACUAAACAAUUUACGAUAGUUCUAACUCGGAGAAACAGUUUGUACUACUUAAACAUUGUUAGUUGACCCCUAAAAAAGAUAAUCUCACUAACAUUUCUGAAGCUUUUGCGAUUUAAUAUGAAAAUAUAAGAUGUAUAAACAGUAUAUAUGUAUAUGUUUAAAAAAUCAAUCAUUGGAUCUUUGAUGCGACUCUUUGGCAUACAAAUAAAUAUACAACCGAAAUAUAACAAAUCCUUUAAAUGCGAAGAUAUUAAUAUUUAACACAUACAUAAUUUGAUGGGGCCAAAAUAUUGGACUCGAAGCUAACUUAUGAAUACAGCCACGCGACGUGAUUGUAAAAUACAAAAUAUCGCAUGGGCAGAACCGUAAUUGUGAUGAUAAACUGCCUGUUCGGACAUAUGAAAGAUAUGCUUUGUCAGAGAGUUUCAGAAGAAGUCUUUCCCAUGCUUACCACUUCACCUCUCUCUCUCUCUCUCUCUCUCUCUCUCUCUCUCUCUCUCUCUCUCUCUUUCUUUUUCAUUCUCCACUGUAACCUCCCAAUUCUAACCCAAACUUGAGAAUUGUAUAUUCUUUCUCUCUACGAAAUGCAAGAUAUUCAUCAUGAGUACUCUAUGGCCGGGGGUGGCGGUGGUGGAGGAGGAGGGAGGUUUUUCGGCGGAGGAAUCGGCGGCGGAGGAGGUGGAGAUCGGAGGAUGAGAGCUCAUCAGAACAAUAUACUUAACCAUCACCAAUCUCUCAAGUGUCCUCGUUGUAACUCUCUUAACACCAAGUUCUGUUACUAUAACAAUUACAAUCUUUCUCAGCCUCGGCACUUUUGCAAGAACUGUCGCCGUUACUGGACUAAAGGCGGUGUUCUACGUAACGUCCCUGUCGGCGGUGGUUGCCGGAAAGCUAAACGAUCGAAAACAAAGCAGCCUUCGUCCUCUGCCGACAAAUUAUCAACGACGACGCUAGAACAUAACGUAGAGGAGAAGUCGAGUACCGGAUCUCACUCUAGCAGCGAGAGCUCUUCUCUCACCGCUUCUAACUCUACCACCGUCGCUGCCGUAUCCGUUACCGCCGCGGCGGAGGUUGCUUCGUCGGUUGUUCCCGGUUUCGAUAUGUCUAAUCUUAAACUGUAUGGUAACGGGAUCGAGUGGUCGACGUUGCUCGGACAAGGCUCAUCGGACGGUGGAGUUUUCUCGGAGAUCGGAGGUUUCACUGCGGCGUCGACGAUUGAAACGACUCCGUUUGGAUUCGGGGGGAAGUUCGUAAACCAAGAUGAUCAUCUGAAGUUGGAAAGUGAAACUGUACAGCAGCAACAGUUUGGAGAUCGGACGGCUCAGGUUGAGUUUCAAGGAAGAUCGUCGGAUCCAAAUAUGGGGUUUGAACCGUUGGAUUGGGGAAGUGGCGGAGGAGAUCAAACACUGUUUGAUCUAACCAGCACCGUUGAUCAUGCAUACUGGAGUCAAAGUCAAUGGACGUCGUCUGACCAAGAUCAGAAUGGUCUCUACCUUCCUUGAUUGAUUUGAUUCUCUCAUAGCUUCUUCUUCUUCUUCUUAACCCAAAAAUAUAUAUUCUAUACACAUAAGGUAAAGUUCGAUGAAGUGGUUUUUUUAUUUUAUUUUAUUUUAUCAUUAUGGGUUUUAAACGGGAUUUAUUAUAUAAUUAUAUGACUGAAUGUAAAUUUUUUUUCCCAAAUAUAAAAUUUAUCUCUCUAUUUUGUUUUUUUUCGGUUAGUUUUUGGAAUAUUUCCAACUUCCAAGAGUGCAAAUUUAUAUAGCAUGGUUUUAUUAUGGCUUCGGUUCAGUUUUGGAACUGGCUGUUUUUACUUAUCGUUGUAUAUUUGAUAAGGUUUUAAUUUUUCUGGGGUUUUUUUUUUUUUUCUAUUUUGCUUUGUGUUUCAUUUGAUGUAUCUAAUAAAUUUAUAUAUUUGAUUGGGCAUACAAAACCGUCGAUUCUGCAUCUUUGAUUAUGUGUUUUCUAGUGGGUUUGUUUAUGAGUUUCUCUUAGUAUGACUCACUAGUCACUAGUUGUUAAGACAGUGAACAGGUUCAGUGUAGCUACGUUUCCGUCUAAUUAAGCCGUGUAAUAAUAUAGGUAGCACUUAAAUAAACAAUAUGCAAAAUCCUUAUAUUAUCUUAUCCUGGAAUUUUAUAAUCGAAUAAACAACUAUAUAUAUAUAUAUAUAGCUUCCACUAGGCAAUAGAAAACUAACUACUAUUAUAGUAUAAACUUAUUUCUGUUACUACAUAAACAAUGAUUAACUCGAAAGAGUAAUCAAUCGUAGGUUUGUUGUUGAUACUUGAUAGAAAGAAAUAUAUAUAUACUAUAAAGAUGGAGAGUUAGAAAAGGCAUUUUCGAGGGGAAUUGUACGGAAGAAAGAAACGAGAGAGCCGUGCCGUCGCGUAAAAACAGUGCAAAAGCAACGGACGAGCUAGCGAGCGAAAUUGCGCAUAGGAUUAGGACCCCAUGUGUUAGUGACGAGUCUCAUGUAAUCCACGUGGCUUUGAACUGGAUCCCACUUCACGUGUCGUAGUCGUAACGUCCGAUGGCUGACGUACGUACUUAUAUAUCGAAGGGUCGGUUCGUCGUUUUCUACUUAACCACUAAGCGCUCGUAGACGACUUCAACAAAGAUCUAAGAAGCCCGAGAGAGAGAGAGAGAUAAGACUUGAUGAGUACGGAUUCAUCUGAUUGUGGGCCGUUGGAUUUGGAUUUGGAUUGGGUGAGAGACACACACCCCUCUCUCGAACCAAUGGUGAUGAUGUUGAGGGGUCCAAUAUUAGGUAGGUGGUGGUCAUUGUAGGGAAACACUUGAGAGGCGGAGUAGGUCCAUUAGGACAUGUGCAUAAGUUGUAAAAUCUCCAUACAAAUCACACACGGGAAAGUUUGGUUGGGCGGUUGGGAGAGUUUGGGAUUGUCUGUGGGUUGGUGUAUGACUCCUCCAUGUUCCCUUGUCAUUCUUCUUUUCCUUUGAUUGUUUCAUGAUUUCUACUCGUAUUUUUCUGUCUUUUUUUUUCGUCCAUGGACUCGCAUCGUUACGACAAAUUAGAGAACAUUCACGGCUAUUCUAUAAGUCCACUCCUAUGUAUCUGAUGGUUACACUUUACACAAACCACAAAGUCUUGGUGGAUGGGUUAUUACUUACUCACAAUACUGUCUGCUUGUCACUGGCUCACUGCCUGCUUAUAUCUUCAGGCUGAACGUUUUAGUAGAUCGAAUUGGAGAGGAAUACACACUUUCAGACUGUCGACAAAAAAAAAAAAAAAAAAAAAAACACUUUCAGACUAUUUUUAAGACCAAAAAACGUAUUAACGGGUUGUCGACAUGGUCGAGAAUUGUGGAAAGAUCUUAGAUUAUCUCACAUGCACAAUUAGAACAUUCACAUGCACAUAUCCUUAUCUAAGUCACUCAAUAGAUUUAACUUUUGAAAAGUUAAAUCUAUUAUCUUCAAAGGUGCAUUAUCAAGGUAACAUUAUAACUGAUUAGCUCAAACAAUUAAGAUAUACAAGUAGGUUUAUUUCUGAGCUGGGAUUACAACUGAAACAGCUGGAGUUUUAUUGAAAGACUUCAAAUCUGGUCCAUUCUUUCUAGUCUUUGAAUCAUAGGCAUGGUUUGACGACCCCUCGUCCUAACCAGAUUUCACAUUCGUACUGAUUGUAUGUAACAUAGUCUAAUCACUCGGAACACUUUUUAUUUCUUUGCUUUAAAAAAAAAUCUAUUAAGGUUAUGAUUACACUUUACGAUUUUAAUAAUCUAAAGAUUCUUCUUCAUAAAAAAUCUUUUAAAAAAUAAGUAAUAAUUAAGAGUUCUAUGUAAUUAUUGUGUCUACAAAUUAAUAAAAUUUCUAUAAACAUUUUGAUUUUUUUUUGCUUUUUUUUUAUAUUCAUAACCAGACUAUUUGGUUUUAUCUAUUUUUGUAAUUAAAAAAAAAAUGAAGGCCACUCAUUUUUGAAAUUAAAGAACACUCAAUAAACAUAAAACAAGCGUGUAAGUAAAACCUCAACCAACAUAUGUCAAUGUGAAAUAGACAUUUGUGUGUGUUUUUAGUUUUUUAAUUUUUUUAAACAUAGUGGACGUCUUUUAACAAAAAUAGAAGUGGGCUUAAUACAGGCCUGGGUAACGACCCGGACCCAAGUCGGAUCCAUAUCACCGCGAUUUAUUCUUUUCACAUUUUUGUCUCUCCCUGAAAAUUUUGAAAGUCUUCUUUUAUUGUUCUUCUUCUUACCCCGUUGGUCGAUACGCGCUUAAUUACCAGAAAAUCUCAGAUCCAUAUAUAUUUUCGAAAGAUAGCCUCUUUGAUCUGAUAAUCUCACUAUGGCGGCAUAUAGAGCCGACGACGACUACGAUUACCUAUUCAAGGUUGUCUUAAUUGGAGACUCCGGUGUCGGAAAAUCCAACCUCCUUUCUCGAUUCACGCGCAAUGAGUUCAGUCUCGAGUCUAAAUCCACGAUCGGGGUCGAAUUCGCCACCCGUAGCAUCCAUGUCGAUGAUAAGAUCGUCAAAGCCCAGAUUUGGGAUACCGCCGGCCAAGAAAGGUAUUUAUUCAUUGCAAAUCGAUACAUUACGCUUCAUGAUCUAUGGGAUCGAUUUCAAUUUUGAGAUUGGAGCAUUCGUCUCAUAAGAUUUCGUUGGUUUCGUUUUUGAUGAUUUUGAAGAUAUCGAGCAAUCACGAGUGCGUAUUACAGAGGAGCUGUUGGAGCGUUGCUUGUGUAUGAUGUUACAAGACAUGUGACCUUUGAGAACGUUGAAAGAUGGUUGAAAGAGCUUCGAGAUCACACAGAUUCUAACAUUGUGAUCAUGUUCGUCGGGAACAAAGCGGAUCUUCGUCACCUACGAGCUGUUUCUACCGAAGACGCUAAGGCUUUUGCGGAGAGGGAGAACACUUUCUUCAUGGAGACAUCCGCUCUCGAAUCGAUGAACGUCGAGAAUGCUUUCACCGAAGUGCUUUCACAGAUUUACCGUGUCGUUAGCCGGAAAGCGUUGGAUAUAGGAGAUGACCCUGCUGCUCUUCCCAAAGGACAGACCAUCAAUGUUGGGUCCAAAGACGAUGUCUCUGCGGUUAAGAAGGUUGGUUGCUGCUCCAAUUGAUGGUGCGCCUACACUACAGUCAGAAAUCGGUCUAUUCGAUCUUGUUUGUUUAUUCUUGUUGUUAUAUAUGAAGAUCUUGUUGAUUUAUUUGUAUAAUCUUACACCUAAAAGUAUAUUGAAUUCCACUGCCUUUCCAUUUCAAAUGUAUAUCACAAACAACAUUUGAAUUGAUCCUCAAUGACUCAAUGUACUGUGUUUCUACCGUCUAUCAAAAGUUUUAUUAAUGUGAUCUAGAGACCAAACACAUAGCAUGUGAGGCACCAAUGGAAACUGAGAUAACCUUGUGUGGUUGUCCCUCAUCUUCUUCAGUUAAGAAAUUAACUUCGACCGGAAUAGAUUGGAUCUCCGGGAGACCUGGAACUCCUAGUUGGAAAUCUUUAGCGUUUCCCCACAUCCAGAGUUCGCCUCCAUCUGUCAAGAACCAAUCCCAUGUUUAUAGUUUUUGAGCUAUUUAUCAUGUCAAAUGAACAUAACUACUUUACGUACCUGUUAUCGCUGCAGAAGAGGAACCUCCACAAGCAAUGAAGACGAUCUUUUUGUCUGAUAACGCUUCAAUUUCUGUAGGUGUUCUCUGGUUUCGAAGCGAGGAAUUACCCAAUUGGCCGUGUCCACCAUGGCCCCACGAAAGUACUUUACCGUCCUCUGUUGUCACACCAAGCAAUUUCAAGUCAACCUUGUAAAAACCAACCAGAGAUAUUGCUCGGUUUGUAGAAGAUUGUUUACCGGUUAAGGCAAGAGAGUGAUAUCCACCGCACGCAACCUGGGUGAUACGAACGCCUUCUAAACUGGGAACCGGCAUUGGUUCCCACCCUCCCAAGUUAUCCCCGCGUCCGAGCUCAUUAUUGGAAUUUGCUGAUACAGGAAGAUCCAAUGAAUUGUAAAAUAAUCAUCUAUGCAAGAAAACAUAAUUGUUGCGACAUUGCAGUAUAUCAUGAUUUUUACACUAUCGAUGGUCGAAACUAAUGUAUUAAAUUGGUUGUUACCUCCCCAGUUCCAGAGUUGUCCCUCUUGGGUAAGCGCCAUUGUGAAGAAACCACCACAAGAGACAGAGUCAACAGGAACAGUUAAAGCUUUGACCUUUGACGGAACACUGAGCCCACCACCUUCGUUUGGUCCUCGGCCUGGCCCGAGUCCUAGUCUACCGUCUCCUUCUUCUCUUCCCCACAUAUAUAGCUCUCCUAAAACCAAGAACAAGUCUUGCUCGAUUAAGAAUAUAUCAAACAGUUAAAACCAAAAAGGAUAACAACGCUAUGUGAACCUACUACUCUUCUAUUUAGCAAGUUAUUGAUAUUUGGUCCUGCCUGACAGUAUUCGGCUUGUUCGAAAACUUCUCAAUUAAGCUAGCACUGCAGAAAUGUAGCAAGAAGAGAAAGCAUGUAGAAACCUGAUUCGGUAAUAGCAGCAGUAUGAGUUCCACUGGUUGCAAUGGCAGAGAUUUUGCAGUCCCAAGAGCCAUCAACACGUCGAGGCACGAGUUCUCUAGUGUAAACUUUAUGUCCAAGUGCACCAAAGCCACCAUAACCCCUAACAACUUCAUUUUUAAUAUAUGGAACCAAUCACAUUAUGCAGAAGCAAAAGAUCAAACACAAAUGCAAAUCUAGCUUGAUGUAUUGAUAUUGGCUAUUUGGCUUAACAUCAACUUGCACAAACAGUAUGAUUCAAAACUCAAUUAUUGAAGCUGAAGCUUACCAAGUGAAUACAUCUCCUUGAUGUGUUAAAGCCACUGAAUGCAAACCACCAAGAGCGAUAGAUCGAAUGGAACGUUCUUCGAAAAGCGGGUUUAAAUUGGGGACGAACACCGAGUUCUCUUGGCCAAAACCUAGCCUACCUCCGUCACCUUUUCCCCAAAUCCAUAGAUCUCCGUCUAUGGUUAAACCCGAGUGGAACAAUCCGCAAGAGAUUCCAACCCGAAAACUCGAUGAAGAAUCAGCGUCGAUUCUUCCAGGAGCUUGGGCGAGAGAGAAGGACUGAUCAGAGCGAAGGACGAGAUUAGCGACGGGAGACGGAUACAUUCGGAUCUCUUCGAUUCCACCGCCGAGCUGACCUGAAGCGCCUCGUCCCCAUGAGAGGAGCUGGAGAGUGACGGGACUAGAAUCGAUCUCUGGGCUUGUGUAGAGUGUUGGUACUUUGCUGGUGGUUCCUCCGCCGCUUCUUUGAGUGGUACGGGUGGAAGAGAAGCGGCGCGUGAAGCUACGUAAGCGGUGGCUUAACGGUGCCAUUGUUUUAUCGGAGUUUCAUCUCUACCGGUGGGUUUUAAAAUAUGACUAUGUGAGGCUUAUUGAAACGACGGCGUUUAGUGGCGUAUCGUGGUAAAAUAUAAUAAUUGCUCCUGAUGAGGACCUUAAUCAUUGUUCUUUUUGUCAAUAAGACCUUAUAAUUUAGAUUCGUUAGUUAUGAUAAAUUAUGUUAAAAAAAAUUGUUUUUGACAACAGAUUGUAAAUAUAUGAUUGAAAAUUUGAAAAAAAUAAUAUUUUCUUUCAGUAUUCACUAUGUUCUAAAAAAAUAGGUAAUACAGUAAAUGUAGAGUAAUUUGAUGAGUUAUUGUGUUUGUUACAGUUAUGCCAGUUUUAGUGCCAAUAAAUGUGUAACUUUUUAAAAUAAUUUAGCCAAAUAGUUACCAAGAAAUUCAUAAGGUUGAGAAUUGAGAGUCGAAAGCUUCUCACGGAAAGCUCGAAAUCUUAUUGUUAGACAAAAGUAACUGAGUUCUUGACCAAUGAACGAGUGUACCAUAAAAGAUCAGAAUAUGUAAUGUGUAACAUUCAAGACAUACCAUAUGAUAAUAGUAUGAUUUAAUCUUUUCACUUCUUGUCUUAUAAAAGAUCGAAAAUUAUCUGUAUUUGUUUUCUUUUCGGAGUGUUUUUUUUUUUGGUGGUACUCAGAAACAGAGUAUAACAAAGAAUCGCAGAAACUUUUUAGAAUUGUCUCUUAUAAAAUAUUUCAGAAUCUACAGCAUUGAAAGCCUAAAGCAACUGGUUUUGGUUUCUUGGGAGACAAGUCAUCUGAUUCAGGCAUCUUAACAGGGCUUCCCAUCCACUCUAAUCCUAAUCUGCAUCCAAUUUCAUCAAUGCCAAACAAUUCAAUUAAUCUUCUCCAACCGAAAUAUAAACAAAAAAAAAAUGUAUUAAAAAGUACGGUUUUCUUGUGAUUUGAAAACUCACAUGGGAAACGCAAAAGAACCCCUUCCUUCGUCUGAGUUAUUAGACCCGCUCGAUUUAUCAGAGGCAUCGAUAUCUUCUUCUUCUUCAGUUUUCUGAAACAGCACAAAACAAAGAAAUCAUUAAUACAUGGAAAUGGUAUAUUACUCUUGAAACUGAAACAUAUUAAGGAAAACAUUACUUCUGUAAUAUCUUCAGAUUCUUGACUUGAAGUGUUAUUGUUCUGCUCUUGUUCUGCGCCUUUAAUCUCCGGCGACUUAUUCUUAUCUGUUCCUCCUCCUACUCCUUGAUCUCCAUAAAUAAGCUGUUCUUAACAAAAACAAAUCAAUAGUUGAGACUAAUUAAUUAAUAGCCUAGUGGUUUGUUUCUUGGGAUUUGGAGGCUAUGUUUCACAACUUUAGCGCAAAGUUUAAUUUCGAUUUUUUCUGACAAGAACGAACCUUACGAUUGACAGUCCUCGGUGACUUUCCCGGGGACAAUUCGUUAUCUUUCUUGUCUUGUUUACCCUCUUUAACCACAUCGAAACCUCCAUCUUCGCGGUCGAAACAGAACACAAUGAAACCAGAUUCGUCAGAAACAGGUUGCUGCGGCCAGCUCAACCGCCGGUGCUGAGACGCCGACGUCGUGGGAGAAACGCUGCUGCUGCUUCUAAGAUGAAGAUGAUGAUGACGUGUCCCAGGUGGGCUUAGACUGAGUUUCCUCUCUGAUCUCUUCUUCUUAGUACUCUUCAUCUUCCUCUUUAUCCUCUUGAACGUUAGACUAUUGUUGUUGCUCGUACUACUGUUUCCGUUAUUAUUAACUCCAUCUUCAUCUACGUCUGAUAGAAAUAUACUAACUUUUUAGAAAAACAAUAGCUUAAAAGAAAAUAAUGAAAUUAGAAACAAAGAGAGCAGAAUAAGAGAAGAAAGAUCACCUAGAGGAAUCUUGCAAGCCAAGAAACAGGAAGCCCAAUCUUUGACUCUCCAAGUGACAAGUUUUGGUAUUGUCCACUGUGAUGAAGCCAUAGCUGUUAUGAUAUUUUGUGUUUUCACGAGAAAUAGUAUAUUUGUGUGUGUGUUUUUGAGGCUUUUUUAAGAAUAAGUUUUGACAAGGGGAGAAUUUAUUACGAUGAGGGAGAAGAUGAGAAGAAUGAUUUUGAAAUUUGAAAAAAAAUAAAAAUAAUAACAAAAAGAUUUUAAAGACAAGACAAUAGAUUGCCAUGAAUUAGGGAAAGGGGGGUUACAAUGUGCAACACAUGAAUGCAUUUAAUAUUUAUUGUAAUAUUUAUUUUGGUAUUGUAAUAAUUGGGCAGUAAAUGCUAUCAUAGUUAAGAAACACUGCUAUAAGAAAAUUCAAUUUCUAUAUUUUUCAGCUGUUCAAUUUUUAUUAAUUCUGUUUUUUUUUUUUUUUUUUUUUUUUGCAGAUAUGUCAAGAAGACGGCAUAACCAUUUAAAAUGGUGGCUACGGGCUAGAGUAGACAAAUGACAUAGAUGCCAUUUAAUAUGGACACAUGGGCCUAUAUAUGUAGCCCAUUAUCUGAUUUAUAGAAUACUACUAAGUCCAUUAGAGCAGCAGCAUCGGUAGUCUCUCACCCAAACUCUUGCCAUUUUAAAAAAGAGAAAAAAUUGAAAAGAGAAGAAAGAGGAGAGAGACGUCUCUCGUUUGAGAGAUUUUAACAAAAAUACAAGAGACGGUUCUCGUGUCUGUCAUUUUAUGAUUGGUCUGUUAAAUUAUUUUUUAAUUAAAUAUUAUUAAGUUAUGUUCACACUUAGUUUGAGAGACCCAAAUGCAGAGACUGCCGAUGCUGCUGGUCUUAGAUGUAUAUCUGAUUAUUUUUCAGGUGAGAUAUAUCGUCGUUCGGAAGGCGCGAUACGGAUGAGAGUCUCCACUGCCGCGAAGGGUUGCUGCAGAAUGUUUAUCUUAAGAAAAGAUAAAAACUUCACCCUUCUUGUUUGCGUCACCUAAAUUGAGGUAUCUAAUAUUAAAUAUUUUCACCUAUACGUUGCACGAUGCUGAUUACAAAGUUUUGUCAUUGUUAAAACUUACGACGAUGUAUUUGUUUAUGCUCAAUAACAUGAAGUACUUAUGUUUGAAAGUACAAACUUACGACGAUGUAUUUGUUUAUGUUCAAUAUCGAGAAAACUUCUUGAUAUAUAUGAGGAUAUUCAAGAAAUGAAUAAAUUGAAAUGGAGCGUGGAGUUUGCUUGAUAUAUAUAGGGGGUAUAGGUUUGGAAGUAUCAUCAAACAAAGAAUUAUCAUCCGAGUUAAAACUAGGUCAAUUCAUGCUCUUGAAAAGAAAGAAAAAGUGAAUCUUAGAUUAAGCGUUCAUCUAAAUAUCUCUAGUUCAUUCGGAAUUAGUGUUGAAGUAAUUAAAAGGUGUUUUAAUGUCGAGUAAAAAUUCAUUUAAACAAAGCUUAGUGUGUAAAGAUUAUUUAAAGAAUUUGAAUUGAAAGCUUUUGAAGAUUUAGACACGUUGUCAACUUUUAAAUUGUUUGUGUGCUCAUAUUUUCGUACUAGCAAAUAUUAUAUGCUUAAUACUUUGUUGCACAUAUUCAAUAACAUGAAAUACACGAGGUUAGGGGGUACGCAAGUUAGAAUGGUCCACAGACCACAGUCCACUAUAAUUCUGUAAAGCACAUAUGGCUCAUAACCAAAUAAAAUUGAAGGAUUUGUUUGAUAAAGUAUUAACAUACGUUAAUAAAUUGCGCACUUGAUAAAAAGUCUGGUGUACUGUUUAUAAAUCUUUCGAAUCGAUCAUCAUACCAUUUCACACGCUAGCUGCCAAAUCAUUUAACUACCACCACUCUCGUUAUUAUUUUUUUUCUUUUCUUUUGGAGUGUCGCAAACAUAUAUAGUCACUGGAAUACUAAAGUUUAUCAUAUCGGAUGACAGACAUAAGAAUUAAAGGGAAACAUUUCAUGUAUAUCUUUUAUAAGACUAGAAUCUGCUGUGGCCUAUACGAUAAAGACAUUGUUUUCGAAUGUCAUGUGUUAAAAAUCAUUGGCCCCCUGAGUAGAAUUUUACACCGGCCUAUUCGCUCACUUACGCCGUCCCCCCUCAGCUGAGAAUUUUAAGGUUCCUAUUUCUUAAGUUGUUGUUCGUACACAAAUUUUAGGUAAUGAAUUUAAAGGUUACACCACACACUUCUGUUUCGUCGUCGGAAUGUCCGGAAAUUGAUCAAAGAGGAAUGAUUAAUUGAUAUACGCUUCAAAGCUAAGUGCUCAAACUUGUACGUAGUUUUAAAAGAAUUACCUUAUAUACAGAUCCUGAUAUUGAUAUAUGAAGUGUGUCCACUUAAUUAUCAUCUUCUUGUAAUUAGUACUUUUUGUAGUAUGCCACUUGAACGUAAGUUUUGAGCAUUAUGUAAUUUAUGUUGAUGUAAUGAAAUAAUGAAUAAUGAUGCCCUUUUACAUAUACAUUUCUUUUGGAAGGUGCGUUCGUCGUAUUUUAUCACUAGAUAUGUUUUAUGUAUACAUACGAGAUUUUGAUUUGUUAUCCGCCAGUUUGGUUGCGUAUUUCUUCUGAUAGACUGAUAUUAGAGUCUAGAGACGUGUUUAGUAAGAUUAGAGACAGCAGUCUAUGUCAACAAUGAAGGAAGUAUGUUAUCAUAGUCAGAUAUAUUUCGAUAAAUUUUUUUUUUUUGCUAACUAUAUUUCGAUAAAUUAGAUUCAGUAUCAGAUUACGGAUCAAUUUAAGGGUGUUAACUACCACCAAGAACGAUAUCAUUUUCUGGCGCGGUAAAAUGGGUAAUAUGUUAACAACAACCACAAAAAUGAUAAUAGUUUUCAUGAAAAAUCACGAUGGAAAUGGAUUUGAAAUUUUAUAUAUAUAUAUAGUAUUGAGAAAUAAUAGGUUUUCGUCAUAAAACAAUAGAAUAUGUGUCAAAAAUAUAUUUAGACAUAAGAAAAUGGUAUAUAUAUUCAUUACAGCUGAAUAUUAGAUUCAUGUGCCUCGCAAUGGGUUGACACAUCUUGUUGCAUCGGGAGUCAGAAACGUCCAACAACGUCGCGUCAGGUCCUCAUCGUUUACAUAUGUGCGUGAUAACUUAAAAAAAACGAAAAACGCAAAUCCAAUAUAUAAUGCUUUUGUACACUUUAGAGACAUACAUGUACAUUAAGUUAUGAGAGUUAUCAAGGACACACUUAUGAAAAAGGCUGUGCUCCUCAAAAUCAAAUCCUUUAAUUUAGAUACAUAUAUGCUAUAAAAUAUAAAUGAUAAAUUUUAAUAUGUAAUAUCAUAGUCAUAUAUAUAGACUCAAUAGAUGAACCUUGAGUGGUACCAAAAACCAAUAUGCAGUAUGUUGAAAGAAGACAAAUAGCAAUAUUUUAAUGAUAGUUGCCUUUUAGUUAUAUUGAUUGAAUGAAUCAAUUAUUGUUCUAGGAUGAACACUUUUCUUGACCACCGUAUCUAACCCAUCUCAAUGUUCCUUGAUUUCACAAGAAACAAACUAAAACGAACAAAGAGUAUCAGAACAGUGUCAUCACUCAUCAGUCUACAUUUCCGUGUGACCGCGAAUUCUGACAGAUGCUUGACUCUUCCAAGGAAAAUAUUACAUGUGUCAUUAGGAAUAAAUUAGAGAACGAGUAAUCUCUACCAUAUAUCCCUUCGUAAUUUUUUUUUUUAAAUACGUUACUUUUGACAGCAAUCAAUUUUUAAUCAUAUACCAAUAUCUCCCUCUCUCUCUCUCGCUCUCGUAAUUUUACUAUAUAAGAGCACCUCUGUAAACUGUGUGAGACAGAACUAGAAAAGAAAACAUCGACCGUUCCUUGAUUUCAAACUGGAUAUAUAAUGGUAUCGCAUUCACGUGUUCCUCGUCAAAAGAGUGUUUCAGUGAGUACAAUCUUCAAGUGUCUUCUGGUUUUGAUCAGACGCUCUAUUCAGUUCUCUUAAGCCUUGUCUUUUUUUCUUUUUCUUUUCCUCUCUCUUUUCCUUGCUAAUUUCACUUUAAAGAUGCUCUAAUAACGAGUCUUUCUUUUGAAAACAUGGAGUUCUAAUUAUGAUAAUUUGUUAGCUCCACCUAGGAUUAUUUGACGGUAGUAUUAAUUAAACUAAACUAAAAUCAAGAAUCAAGAAUCAAGAAUCAAGAAUCAAGAAUCAAGAAGAAGAGAACUAGAAAGAUGGUGAGGACACCAUGUUGCAAAGAAGAAGGAAUAAAGAAAGGGGCUUGGACUCCUGAGGAAGAUCAAAAGCUUAUUGCUUAUCUUCAACUCCACGGUGAAGGUGGAUGGCGUACUCUCCCUGAAAAAGCUGGUAUUUAUUUUAUUUUUAUUUUUUUAGUAUCAAAUGUUCCAAUUAUUAGCUAUUAAUUUAUAUAUAGUAUUGUAAUGUGUGUACAAUGUAUAUAUAUAGGACUGAAGAGAUGCGGAAAGAGUUGUAGAUUGAGAUGGGCGAAUUACUUAAGACCCGACAUUAAGAGAGGAGAGUUUAGUCCCGAAGAAGACGAUACCAUCAUCAAGCUUCAUGCUCUUAAGGGUAACAAGUAAGAAAGAAGCGCAGCUUUUUAUUUUCUUUAGUUUUCAUCUUUGUUUUUUAUUUUAUUUAUUUUGGAUUAGGUAAUCAUUACUUUAAUUAUGUCUACAUGUGUAAUGUUGCAUGAAGAAAGGUUACUGAUUUUAUUUUUAUUUAAACGAAUUUGGAUUCCCACAUUGAUAACGAAUGGUAAAUAAGAGAUAGUAGUACUUAUAUGUGGUGUUUGACUGUUACGUUGAAGGUGGGCUGCAAUAGCGGCUAGUUUGGCGGGACGAACUGACAACGAAAUAAAAAACUAUUGGAACACAAAUCUCAAGAAGCGUAUAAAACAAAAGAAAGGCCUCGAUCCCAUUCCCAUCACUCACAAAUCGAUCAAUUCUUCAACCGGUCAAAACGCUAUCGAACCAAUAAACAACAAUAAACCGGUACGUUCAUCCGGUUCCGCAAGGCUUCUAAACCGCGUCGCAAGCAAAUACGCAGCGGAGUUUAACCGGGAUCUACUAACCGGACUCAUCAGUGGAAACCGCACCGUCUUCGGGGAUUCACAAAACCCCUCCGGCAAGAUCGAUCCUAGGGACUCAACAUUGCUAAACAAAGUGGCGGAAACGUCGGUUUAUAUCAACAGUAGUACAUUGUCCGACAUCUCCGACAACUGUUUCAACGAGUUCUUAAGCAACGAAGAGAUCUCCGACAACUGUUUCAACGAGUUCUUAAGCAACGAAAAGAUCUCCGAUGAUUUCAUGUAUACGACAAUCGAUAAUAUCGAGUUUAUGGAGGAGUUAAAGGGAAUUUUAAGCGGUUCAGGCGCCGAAGUUGUUGAAAAUUCGUCUGAUGAGGUCAAUGCAGCUGAUGAAAUGGAGUUCAUUAUUGGUUGUUGGAACGAAUAAGAACACAAUAUUUGUACUUGUCUUUUGUCUGACGAAUCAAUCAGACUAGAAUCAAUCUCAUGCAUGCAAGUUUGUUUUUUUUUUUUUUUUUUUUUUCAAAUUCUUGCCGUCAAUUUGUUUUUUUUUUUUCUUUUCUUUCUUUAAUAAAGAUCUAGUGAAUAAGAAAAAAAAAAAAGAUCUAGUGAUAGAUCUGUUUAUCGUCACGUGGACCAAAUUGUAUGAUCUAGUUUGUAGUAUUAUAAUGGAUUAGGAAUGAAUUCUUUUGCUUAAUUAAUAAUUAAUUUACACGUAUGAAGCUGUUUGUUAAUAACAACUACGGGAUUUAAAACAUGAAAAAAGAAACGAAUUGCCUUUACCAAAAAGAGAAAGAAAGAAACGAAGCGAAUUUUGGGAUAAUCAUGAUUUUCAACCAUGCAAUAUUUUAGUAUAUAUUGACAUAUAGUAUAGAUAUAUAGCAUUUUGACCUUAUAAUAUAAACGGACUCGAAUUGAGAGAUCAACUAGUAAAUUACGACCAAGCUGGUACACCUACGUAAGCGUAACUUACUACAUCAUCUCCAGAUUGAGAUUUUUUUUUUUUAAACUCAGGCACACUUCCAUCAUUACCCUUUUCAUAUGAGUUAAAUUAUGACCAACUUUUUUAGCUUCGCCGAGCUAUUCCUUUUUGGUGAUAUAAUUCGCAUUUUAUCAGAAAGAAUAAACUAUAUUGGUAAAAUGGUUUGGGCCAUUCUUAUUCAUAUCCAUAAUUCAAGUGUUGGAAAAAGCAUAAUUCUGUUGUUCCCUAAAAAGUGAAUCCCUAAUUUCUUAUAUAAUAGUACUACUAGUAUACAUGUGACAAAGAUAUAACAAUGUGAAUUCACGUGAGUGCGUUUAUCUUUACUAGUAUUUUACAGUUAUACUUCGGCACAAGUUGCACUCCUGCGAGACUAUUUAUGCCCAUGCAAUGCAAGUAGCAUUUAACUUUUAAUUCCGGCACAAGUUUAACUUUUUACCUUUUUUAUUUUGUUUUUUAAGUAGCAUUUAUAACUUAUCUUUAGGUUAUGCAAGUAGGAUUAUUAAUUUGUCUAUUUUGUAUAGAAUUCUUCAAUAUUUUUUACAUGCACAUUCUACCUAUUUUUUAUAACAGCACCUUCACCUAAUUUUAUAUAAGAUAACUACAGAAACUUGUAUGCACAAUUGAUAUUUGAUAACAAAGUUUUUUUUUUUUUAAUUUGUACAACAAUUUGAUAUUUAGCUAAAAUUAUGGGUUCUUAAUUGAAUUGUGAAGCUUAUAUCAUCCAUUAAUCUCUGUCUUGAUUCUCUCUUUAGUGAUAAAUGAAGAUAUUUUGGGAUGCAUGCAUAAAGCAUUGUGUAUAUGCACGCAAAUAGAUUUCUAAUGAACCUCUUGUUUUAUGAAGCUUUUAGCAUCCACUCCGACCAAACUCCUCCAUUCGUUUUUCGGAAGUUUAUACUAUUCUAAAGCCAUAUGGUUGAAAUAUGAUAUUCACUAAUGCUAACCAAUAGUCUCUCAUUUGACAACUACGGACUGCCAUGCUUUUUUAGUUAUUAUUGAAGUUUCCUCUAGUUUACAUAAAAUUUAUACUCCAGUUGGUAAUUAAAGAUGGUUAUAACAAAAAGCAAAGGUAGAUAUAAAUCAAUUUUUUCUUUAAAAAAUUAUAUAACCAUCUUUACACCUUCGCAUACUAACACGAUGGUAAUAUUUUUAUUUAAAAUGAAAUAAUUCCCUUUAACUAAAAAAUAGCUCCUGUACAGUGUACACUAUAUAUGUAUAUUGCUUUUUCAAAUUCUACGUACCCAAUUACUUCAAUUUCUUAUUAGCUUCAUUAUUAGCUUCAUUAUUAGUAUAGAGAUUACUCCCUCUGUUUCCUAUUAAUUAUUUUUAGGGAAAACAUUGUUUCAAAAUAUAUAUCUAAUUUUUAAACUAUAGAUAUACGUUAUUAAUUAUUAAUUAAGAAUUAAAAAUUUCAAGGAAAAAAAACUAAAUACUUUUGGUUUAAGGUUACAGAACACUGUAAAUCACAAAAAGUUAUGCAUUUGAAUCAACUUAUAAAUGGUUACUUAAUAUGUGUAAAAAAAUCUAAAAAUAGAUUAACUGGGAAGAAAAAGAGUAUACAUUAUAUUACCUCUGUUCCUAAAAAAAAAAAACCUCUGGGAUUUCUUUUGUUCCAUUACGUUUAAUUUUCUGUACACUUUUGAUUAAUAAUAUUAAGAAAUUGUAAACUUCCAGAAGUAAUCAUUGAGAAUAACUAAACUGUUAUUGGUUUAUAAUGAAAACAAUAACUUUUUAGUGAAACAAAUUAAUAAUGUGUUUGAAUUUGAGUGUGAAAAGUGAAACCCUUUAAACAUUAGCUUUUAAGAAAUACAAUGAAAUGUUAUAAAUAUGACUUAUUUGCCAACUAAAUAGUUACAGCCCAUGAAUAGAACGUGUUCAAUAUUUUAAAAUUAUAGUUUAUAACUGUCGUACAUGUAUGGUUUCAUUGGACGACUAACGUCUUUAUCAAAAAAAAAAAAAAAAAAAAAAAAUUGGACUAACGUUAGAUUUUGCUGGAUUUUUUAUUUUUAAAAAAAUUAGAAAAGUCCGUGAGUGGAUUCUUCGAACAGUAUUGGUUUAAUCAGUUAAGUUAAAUUAAAAUGUCCUUGAGUAUAGUAAUUUAAUUAGAACGUGCUGGUUAUAUAUUAAACUUAUAUAGAAGCCUGAUCUGUGUCAUUGGGAGUUUCUAGAAGAAUUUGGGUAGAAUUUGCCAUUUGGAGAUAUCGCAUAUAUAUCGAUGAUGACUGAUGGUGCAGAGUAACAAAAUUUUGGAAAUAUAUAAUUCUGUACAUGUUUUUUGUUUUUUAAUAAAUAAUCACAUAAAACCAUUAAACACGAAUUCGUGAUUUGGAAAUCCAAUUUAUAUAUGGGAAAGAAGACUUGACCUUACUUAGUCGUGAUUGUGGUAUGUGAUUAGUUGAAAACACAACUCUAGAGUAGAACACGAAUUCAGUAUCCUGAAAUUUAAGAGCAGUCGGAUAUUGGUGUAGAUUUGCCACCAACUGGAACAUGUUUUAAAUCCUUGAUGAAUGUAUCGAUGUCACCAUUCGGAUCUCUUAUGCCGUAAGACAAUGGAAACUUCUUCUUCCAACAUAACCGAUCUCUUCCGAGCGCACCACUGCUCCACAAAAAACAGUUCCUUGAGACUGCAGCCAUCUUUACAUCUUUCUUCAUCAUAGUUUAAGUACCUCUUGUGUAGGUAUUUACAUCCGCGUUUGAGGUUGCGGUUUGGUUAUUCUCUGGUCCACAUGUUUGCAUCUUAAAAUCCGGUUUACAUUCACAUCUCGGCCUUUGUUUUUUUUUGUCAUCUCAAUAUUACUAUAUAUACAAGUACCCUGAUUCGUUGAAAACCAAUAAUUAAAUAACCAGGAUUCUGAGGAUCUUUGGUGUUACUUGAGUAGUACGAAAAGUAAACAUCUGUUUCUGCAAGUGUCUCGCUGUUGAGUGUAAGCAGCUGCAGAUCUCCGUCAUCGCCUAAACAUAGCCUGAAUCUUCCUUUUCUCUGUUCUGCGAGAUAAAAAAAUAUUAGGAAAAAAAAAGAAAAAUUCUUUUGUCGCUAAAACUAUUAGGAAAAUUCUUUUAUUACGUUUGCGUUUUCAUAUUUUCAUUAGAUAUAUCUGUAAUAUUAAACACAAACUUUAAUCAGUCACACCAGUUAAACAAUAAUUGAGGUCACAAUGGAGGUCUGUGAGAUCUUACUAGUAUAUCUUGCGAUGGUAUGCAAUAAAGACUUACCUGAGUAGGUAACAAAGUGUCGGUGGGAUUAGCUAGUGUUUGUGCUUGCAGAAGAAGAAUAAGAUGGAUUAUUUAACAAGAAAGAAUGAAACCAUAUGGAGAGAAUGAAACCAUCCUUUGGUUGGAUCUUGCGUAACCCGAAAGCGAAGUCACCGGAAAGGGAACGCCAUGAACUGGAGAGUUGUUGGGACACGGAAGCAGGUGAGAGAUCCUCCGAAAGGAACAGAGCCGUUUAUGAUGUUCUGAGACAAUCCAACAAGUGUUUUUAGUUGCAGGACAAGAACAAGUUGUAGUAUCAAACAAGAGAUAAACCGCAUUUUGCUUGACCAAACAUCUACGUACCGGUUAAAUUUGUGUCCGUGAGUGUGUAUAUAACUAUAUAUAGAAGGUUUAAUGUUGAAUUGUUCGUUAUAACUAAACGUCUAAGAAACGUUAAGAAGACGAGUCUAGACUUUUUGUUCUUUCACUGAGUCAAACAGUCAACAAACCAGAUUUUGGAAGAGUGAACAGAGUCUUCUCUGGCGACAAAAAAUAAAAAAGAACAGAGUCUUCUCCUCCAUACAUUAAUUAAGUCGUGAACAUGUGUUAUACAACAUGAUAGCCUACAACAUUAUAUAAAUUUUGGUGAACGCAAGUUAUCAUUUAUCAACAUUCUUUAUUGGACUCACCAAAUAUAAAUUUUUACAUGUUGGUGAAACAACAUAUAUAAUAGUAUAAUUUUUAAUCGUAAAAUCAAAACAUAAAAAUAAGUUGAAAUAACAAUCAAUAUCUUUCAGUACUAAAAAUGGGAAAUCUAUGUUAUUAAUGACCCCAUUUAGUAGUCAACCAUCGAAAUAUAUAUAUAUAUUUUUAAUUUCGAUUUAUUUAGGGUUUCUUAAAGUUGAAGAAAAUCUAUAUGGAAAAUUACAUGAUUUAAAUAGGUGCACUGAACAAUUUUAUAAAAAUCUUUCUAAAUAUAGCAUCUGUUGAUCAAACGAUGAAAGAUUGUAGUGAAAAAAAGAAAGAUAAAGACUUUUUUUCGCUAUGCAUUCACGAAAAUAAAAAUUUAAACGUUUCGUCCAUCCACAAUCACACCAUUUAUUUUGUCGGUACAUAAUUCUAUUCAACCAGUGAUCCUCAAUUUUGAUUAUUUGACCAAUUGACUCUGUAACGUACUCAGGACUUUCACAAAUAUUCACUUUUUGUUAAAAUUAAUAUAGUUUUUGAGCAUAUACAUAUACCAGCAUAUAUAGAAUCUCGUUCUUUGUUGGCUUACACACUUAACAAUCUAUACAUAGAAGUAGUUUGUACAUGCAUAAACACUAUUAUAUAUAUAUAUACCGUAUUAGAUUGUUUAGCAAAUUUUGAAUAACUAUCAUAUUCGUACAAACUUUUUCUAAUAUUUCGAAAGUCACAAUAAUCAUUUGUGCCAUGCGGUACCUUACUGCGACAACUUUAAAGCGCAACAUAAUGGGCACAUUUACAAUAAGAGUAAAAUUGAGAAAUUCGAAUAUGAGAUUUUCAUAAAAGCGUUAAACAUAGUGAGCACAUUUACAAAAUGAUAGAAUAUUGAUAAAUUGCGUUCACCACAAUAAAAGAAAAAGAGUUACAUCAUUCAUGAGAAAUCAUUUACCAAGAUAUAAAUCUUUGUGAUCUUAAGAAAACGCAGUCGAUCGAAUCUAAUGAUCAUAUAGCUAAUACGUACGUAGGUCUUGACAUUGGAAUUUCCAUCAUACAUAUAAAACAUGAUUAGCUAAUUAAAACAUAUAUCAGUAUUAAUAAUGAGUAUUAAGGUCACCAAAAAACUGCUGAUAUAUGUUAUGAAAAUAUUAAACAUUAAUUAUAUAGUAUCAUGUAUAAUUAUAGAUAGAGAGAUAUGAUAAUUCUACUCAUUCGUGGUGGUAGGGCGUAACAUCCAAGCCGGAAGAAGAGAGUUUGGUUCUGUCAACGACGGUGCACUGCCGUUCUCUCCCUCAACUCUCUCCACAAAGUCAUCUCUGUCCAUUUAAUAGUAAAUUCAUCAGAACUUCAUACAAACAUAUAUGUUUAAAUUAUAUGCACAGUACUGCACAAUUAAUCAACCUGGAAAAAUCUAUAGUUUGGGAUAUUACUGAUAGAUCAGAGAAAGAGACCUGGAGGAGCUUAAGCAGUAUUGGGGCAGAAGAACUGAACAAGAGUUGGAGCAUUGGUUUAAUUGUCCUUCUUGCUGAUCCGUUUUCUUCUCCCUCUCCUUAAUCUAUAUAUACUCAUUGUUUUGCCAUUAGUUAGUAAUAUUACAUUAGUCCUAAAUCUACACUUGCAUGAGUUGUAUAUAUGUUUUGUUUUAGAUUUUACUAUAUAAUAUACAAUAUUUUAUUAGUCAAAUUUUCUUUUUAAAGUUUUCUUUAUACUACCAUUAGAAAAUUAAUCACUUUAAAUUUUACGGGCAAAUGUUAUAUAAGCAUCUGAUUGAUAUAGAUAACUAAUUUAAUCAGCUAGUUAGCUACAUAGAAAAUAACAACUGAUCGUCCUAUUAAUUAACUCCGAACAAUGAAUGAUAACUAUUUCUAAUGCUAACCCCAUUCGUUUAGAGUACAUCUAUAUACACUACGUUAUAUAAUUCACUACUAAUAUAGAAAUAUAUAUACUCAUUGGUCUAUUACAUUUUAUUUAUAUAAUACUGAUAUAAAUUUUUGUAAAAUUCUAUAUGUAGUAAAUAGAGACACACAUAUGUAUAUACACACAUAUUCUCAUAUUAUUAUGGUAUAGCUAGUAAUAAAAUAUUGUUAAACAUAUAUAAUUUUCUUAAUUAAAAAAUUGGUGAGAUGACAUACUGAAGUUAUAAAUUACAGUAUUUCAUUUCACAACUUUCAACUCAUUUAUUACCAGUUAAUUCAAAUUAGAGUCGUACCAACCUUUUUGAGAAGCGAAUUGUUAUGAUCUUGCAAAGCCUUAUCCUAAUUAAUAAAAUUAAACAAGUAAGUAAUUUCUGAAAGAAAAAAAACACUGUGGAACAAUAGUUUUUGCAAUAAAUAGGUUGCUCAUAUAUAUAUGCAGACGAAAAGUUGACAUUACCUUCUUCUGAAGCGCAGAUAUGGAUUCGAACAUUGCUUGGUUCUGCGAUUAAUUAGCCAAUGUUUUAAUAAAACAACAUGUAUAUAUUUCAAACUUGAUGAGUUCCAUUGCAAAACUCAAAAUUUCUAUCUACAGCUUUCAUUACGUAGGUAGAUUAUAAGUAUCAACGUUCCUCUUUUACCUUUCUUGACCUAAUGCUCUUGAUAGCAGCAUCGAGCUGAUGCUCCAAGCUUUGAAGCUCCUUUAAGCUCAACGAAUCGAGAUCUUCCCCCAUGAAAUUCCUGCACAUUUUCCUUUUGAGACUACUGUUUUUACAAGAAAAUUGUACGUGCAUGCUUGUUUUGCUAAGGACAUGCAACCUUGUACAAGUACAACAAUAUUGCUACCUUCCCUACCUUGAGAUACCAAGCCGUAGCUAGUAUUUAUGAUAAAAUUUCCUUAAAUAAAUUGAACUUUACGGAGGAGUCAAUAUUCAAAUCGCAAUUUUCCAAUAAUUACCAUAUACUAACCAUAAGUAAUGAGAAAUUGCGUAUGCAUCUCUUAUUUAGUUAUGUGUUAUGUUACUUAUGUAUUAGAAUAUUUUAACAGUAAUGACUACGUACGGUAAGCGGUAGGAUACGUCAGAAGAUUAUGUUUAAACCCAAAAUUUUGUUAAGUUGGGACAAGUAUUGUAAAUAUACUUUUACUUUAAAUUUGAUAAGCACACAAUAUAUAUAUAUAUAUAUUUGACAUUAUGCACUAUAAGGUUAUAUGGUACGAUACAGGUAUCUAAUGUAUGUAUAUAUACCUUUUGUUCUUCUCAAGUACCUCAACUCUUGCCUUGAGCUUAGCAUGUUCUAGAACCCAGUUUUCCUACAACAUUGGUAUAUGAUGAUAAACACUAGUUACUACAACAAAGAUACAUAAUUAAGUAGGACUCAUGAACAUAAACAGCUAAACUAAAGAGACAUAUGGGUAAACUUACACUCUGCGAAACUUCUCGGCCAACAAGUUGUUUGUCUGAGUAUAAAUAGCGAUCAUAGCGUUCAAGUAUCCUUUCCAUGCUAGAAUUCAGAAAAAGUCAACAUUUAAUUAUAAUUUGAUAAAUCAUUAUAAUUUCACAUGUUACAAUAAUGUGUAACAAUUGUUGCAAAGUGCCAGCCAAAAGUUUACCUCGUUUAGUAUACCGACAAAGGAUAGCUAAAAAUAAGCAUAUAACACAAAAAUGUAUAUAAAACCUGGUUUUGGUGAGUCCAGAAACAUCACAGAAAACAUACGUACAAAUUCAAUUUAAAGAUUCGAAUUUCCCUCCUGACUCGGUUACCAAAGCAAAAUGGUUUGAUCAUUAUAUAUAAAAAAAUCUCUAUAUAUAUGAUCGUACAAAGAAACAAUGUAUACACUUACACAAAAUGCAUUUAUAUCAGUACGAACUUAGAAAUAUGUUUAACGUUAUGUUAUUGUCCACUGGAUUAUAGCACAUCCUUGUAAAUGCUUUAUUUCACCGUUUCAAAUCAAUCUUUCUUUCAAAUAUAUGCUAAGACUAAUAAGUAUUUAGUAUACAUGUUAUAUACAUCUGCGUACGUGUCUGUGUGCACGUGGUUCCAUACAUCAAAAGAGGCAAUCAAAUCGUGAGUCGGUGUACUAAGUUUCAUAAUUUUAUGCUAUUUUUAAUUGGAUAGAGAAAAUAAAAAUAAAACAUAAACAGCUUCUUUUUUCAUGCGUCCGUACGUAAAAUCCCAAAAAAAAAAACCCUAAUUUCUCGAGCCACUUCUUAGGGAACAAACAAAUCUACAGUAGAUAUGAAAGACCAAGCUAGAUACAAGAUUUGGAUUUAGUUCCAAGGCUGUCGACGAUCGAGAUCGAGACGUACGAAUGAAAAAAAAUAAAAAAAAAUAAUAAUAAUAACAAUAACAAAAUCUGGCUAAAUAUCGAAAAAAAUGAUAGGAUAUGAUCGAUGUGAUAUAUAAUUUAUAAUAAUUUAGAGAGAAGAAAAAAGGAAAAAGGAAAAAUUACCAAGAGUCGGUGGAAUAUUCGAAGAGUUUGCCUUUGGAAGAGAAGACGAUGAGAGCAACCUCAGCAUCGCAGAGAACAGAGAUCUCAUGAGCUUUCUUGAGCAAACCAGACCUUCUCUUGGAGAAAGUAACUUGCCUAUUAAUCUUGUUCUCUAUCCUCUUCAGCUGAACCCUACCCCUCCCCAUCUCUCUCUUUCUCUUUCUAUCUCUCAAACACCCUCUCCUCUCAAAGAACAAGAAAGAGAAACGACAACCCUGAAAUGACCAAAGUAUAUAUCUCUCUCUCUAUCUUUCUUUCUUAUGUCUCUCUGGGUAUCUUUUGUGUUGAAUGUGAUAAUAGCUAAUUUUAUUUUAUUUUAUUUCUUUUAUUUUUCUUCUUUUCUCAUGUGUGGGACUUUUUUUGUUGGGUUUCGCGUGAGUCCACAGUGACGUAAGUGGUGUGGUAUAUAAAUACGCUCUGUGACGUGAAUACAUACAUUAGACGACGAUUGGUAUUUGAGGAAAAAAAAUAAAGAAAUUAAAAAGCCAAAACAUAGAGUGGGAAGAGACCAGAGUGGGGGAUAAAGUUUAAGGGCUGUUUGGGAAAUAAACUGUUUGAUGUGUUGUCGACCUCUCAUUGGUUCUUUUAUUUUUUUUUAUAACUCGUUCGUUCGUUCGUUAGUUUUGUGCCUCCAUUUAGCUUACAUUAUUUGUCCGUACCGUACGGACAACCUUGUUUUUAAGGUUGAGAAGAACACAGACCAAGAAGAACUCAAUGUUGGUAUUAAAGGAGUAUUACUAUUACAAAAAAAUAAAAAACAUAUAUAUAUAUAUAUAUAUAUAUAUAGGGUUCAGAAUCAGAAUGCAAAUUGUAUUUGGGGGAGAUGAAUUUAUUUUUGCAUGGAGAAAAAACACAUUUAAUUUAUUGAAGGAUGAGUUUCUGACUUCCUUAAACGCAAACACGGAGAAACAUUGAUAGGAUUUUGAAAGUAUAUUUAUGUUUGAUAAACUUAAAGUUAGACAUAAGAAUUUUUUUAACAUAUAAUAUAUACACACACGUAAAAAUCAGGCGGAAGUUUUUAAUGUUUGCAAAUUGCAAUCAAAGUGAUAAACCUACGCAAACUAAAAGAAAUAUAUAAGCUAGAGGCAAUAAUAUUCAGCUGCUGAUGAACCAACAAAACUUGCAUAUAAUAGACGGAGCUCAUUCAAGAGAUCGGCUUGCGAUGCAUACAUUACAUUGUUGACAUUGACAAAAGAAAAAAAGAAGAGAAGAAAAUAAUAAUUCAGUUGAUAAUUAUAAUUUCUCUUUUGACCAAAAAGAGUAGCCUAUUUAUGGGAAGAGAAUCUCAAACGUAUGAUACUCUCAAUGUAGGAAAAGUCUCCUAAGGCUAAUAUAUAUAUUUACCAUUUUCUUUUACUCCUUUAAAUAACAAGCCAAGGUACGUGUAUCAAUUGUUUAGAACUAUUGGAAUUGGGUAGAUGGCUUUUUCAAAAUUCAAUGUAAGGGUUUUCUUAAAGAUCCUUCAAUGCUUUACUGGUAAUGUACUAUAUUGUAGUCAAUGUAAGAACAUUAAUACUGCUGUUAUAUCUUAAGAUAAUUAAUACUACCUCUCUUUUCCCUGACAAUUAAUAACUCUAUAUUAAUACUAGUGUGUUGUAGGAUUAAUUAAACACUAAACACUAAACCCUAAAGCUAUUCUAAUUUUAUGACCAAAUAAUUUCGUCCGAAUUAAGGUUCAACUUUUUUGAGUGGUUAUUGAAUAUGGUACGUGUUCCGAUAGGAUAUUAACAUAACAACAUUCAUGUCGGGUCCCAUGACUAUUAUAGGUCUGCCCUCUGUGUGAUUUCGAUACACACACUACUACACUAACAUAUAUUGCCAUAUUGGUCUGAAAAGUGAUAUCUAUUUUAAGAUUUGGUAACUGAUCCAAUGAAUUGUUAACUGAUACCCAGUAUUACCUAGUUUUGUACAUUAACACACAAAAACUAAAAAAAGAUUGAAUAUCAAAAAUAUUCAUCGAAGUUCAGUUGAGUUACAGAAUCGAAAAUAAUACUUGGUGUGGUUCCGAUACAAACUAUAUAUAUAUAUAUAUAUAUAUAUAUAUAUAUAUAUAUAUUAUUACUCUCUAGCUAUUGUUAUUGUUACUCACUUACUGUUCCUAUCAGAACUGUGUGACUGUGGCUGAAGGGCUUGUCUUUCCUCCUCUACCCGAGGCUUUCUUUCUACUUCUUUUGUACUUCAUGUUGGUCUUGUAAAAAUAAAGUUUCUAUUUCAAAAUAAAUAAAAUAAAAAAACUUAACAGAAACAAUGACACGCUUUAAUAAAGAAAAUUAUUGUACUUUUUAAAGUUUGAAAGCUGUGAUAAAUUGUGGUAUACAAUCCUAAAUCUAGAUUUUUUUAUUUUAUUUCAACAUAUCUUAUAAUGAUUUGUUUUCCUUCUUCUUCUUCUCUAGUUUAAUGGUUUCAGUUGCUCAGCUGCUUCAUGUACUAAAGAAAGCAUUUUAACUACAACAAAAAAAAGUUGUCAAUUGUACGUCUCUUGAGAAGCAAAAUUAUUGAGAAAAUAUUUAAUUUAUUAAUAAGAAGAUUUCAUCACUAGAAUUUUGGGUAGGAAUUGAAAGUUAUUCUUGGUGACAUAUAUAAGUAAAAUAAAGAAACAUAUUAUUCAAGUAAAAAAAUAAAAUAAAGUAUAAGUCUAUACGAUCGCUGUAAAAAAAAAAAAAGUCUAUACGAUCAUAUAUAUAUAUAAUAUGUAGACAUGUAGAUAUAUGUAUAUAUAUAAGGGUGCUUGGUAAGCAAAAUUAUGGCAUAGAGAAAUACUCGUCCAAAGAAAAAUGUAUUAUAUAUAGAGUAUAUAGUAUAUACCAAAAUUGGACCACAUGAACAAAAAGAAAUGGACCACAUUUGGGUGUUGAUGAGCCCUAAACAUGUAAAUGGAUGGAUAGUACCUAAACGUAUUUAAUUUCUCUGAAUCGUUAUUAACAUAAAUUUGGCUCUCUCUUUAGUACGAUAAAUGUUUGGCCUCUUAGAUCAAAACUUUGGAUCUUUAUUUCUGCUUCAUACCUUAUGUGAAGUCCACAUCUCAAAGACCGCAUAUAUUAUAUCGCACGUUGUCUUGUCAACCUUAUAUACCAAUAUAUAGUGGACAUAAACCUCAUAUUUUCCAUUAUUAAUAUUUAUAGCGAAUCAUCCUUUUGUGAAAUUUGAAAUUUUAGAUAUCAAUCGUUAAAAGCUUUUAAUUUACGAACAUACAUACAUAUGUCAACUUAGGACCAUUUUAACAUCACGCCUUGUCUUUUUUAUUUUUAUGUGUGUGACCACACUCGUACAUGAUCAUUCGUACGCAUAUAGUAUGGUGAAAACUGAAAAGUGAAUAUAUAUUGUAUCUCUAUGCCAAAAUAUUUUGGCGUGAAAACAAAAUAUUAAGAGAAGUUUAUUUUAUAAUAAGGGCCUUCAUCAAAAUUACAAUGUUCUAUAUUUCGUUUGGUGAAACUUGAAUUUCUUCUAUUUAACUCACAAGUUUGUGCAUGGUAAUGAUUUUACCGUAAGAAAUAUCAAAUUAACAUCUUUAAUUUAGUACUAUUAAUUAUAUAUAGUUACUAAUUAUAAUAGUAUCAAGUAUUCUCUUCGCUUGGAAAUAUUCGAACUUGGGAAAAAGAAUUCACCGUCUUUGAAAGAGUUAUGCUAUCUAAUCUAAUUUUGAAUAGGAAAAAAAAUGAACACAAAAAAAGAAGAAGAAAACUAACUCUCAACCAAUAAGCAAGCAAAAGAAGCCAUUAUUUUCUAAUAUUGCUGAAAAAGGCCAGUUUCCUUUUAUCGAAGUUAAUCAGGAGGAAUCAAAACAUGACACGUUAGUUGAUAAGCCCGUUGAGUUUAUAAAACCAUUCGACAGGGAUGAUGAUUAUGAAUAAAAAAUCUACAGUGUUGAUACAUCUUUUGAUAGGAAAAAGACAAAAGUACUUAUUGGAUUUGUCAUCCUAGAAAACCUGUGGGGGGAUUUAUCCGUGUGAAACUUUCUUUUAAUAUGACAACGACAUUUAUUUAUGUUGUUAGGGAUUAAUAAGUUGUUAAUUUUCCUGGAAUCCCUAACAACAUCAAAGAUAAUUUUCUUAUGUACGGAGUAGUUGUUAAUAAAAGUUUUGCAUUAAUUUUUUUUUUAUGAUAUAAUUUAAAAUCAAAAUUUUAAGAAAGAGUCAUAAUUUGCUAUAGUGAUACAAAUAUCGUUAAACCAGGAAAAAAUUUAUACAUAUAGCAUCAAUCGAUAUGUAAAAAUGAUACAAAUUCUGAAAUAUAUUUUGUAAGAUCGUAAUUCAUAUUUUUAAGUUUAUUUUUUUCUUCUAUUCAAAAUGUAGCACAAACUUAUGUACUGCAAGCUUAUAUGAAAUAGAAAAUUUUAUUUAUAGACUUCCCUUAUCAACACACAUCCUAUUUUCAACGUUUUGUUCAGAUGCAUGGAUGUUUAAACUAAGUGAAUGGACACACUUAUGAUGGUAUGGUUUGAAUACUGGUUCAAGUUACUUGACAUUUUAAUGUGGUAUCCCUCUUUUGUUACUUUCACGAAUUUUUUGUAUUUCUUAUCUCCGAGGAAGAACAAAUGUUAUGUUAAUCAAGAUCUAUAAGGAUCGUUCACUGUCUUUUAACCUGCUUAUCAUGCAUCUACAUAGAGAUAUGUACACACAUUAUAACUUCAUGACUAUACGUUAUACAGAGAAGGGAAUAAUGGAAGUUUCACUCACACAUACUUUAAUUUGAGUUUUAUUUUGCUUUUUAUAUAAAUGGAGGGGUUGGUGAUAUUAGGGUUUAGAUGCAAAUAUGGAAUCGACAACGCACACAAACUUUUCUAAAGCAACUUCUCGCUUUGUCUCAUUUUGGAUGAGAUUCUCUCUGCCACACAACUAAAUCAAUGUUCCAUUUUACGAGUCCCCCCAUUAUCUCUUCCUAUUUCCCUUUUUUAUUUUAUUUUAUUUUGUGCUUUCUUUUUUGGUAUUGAUACCAACAGAUUCCUAAUCCAAUAAUUAUUUUUUUUGAAAGUCACAGCUCAUACAAUAUAUAUUUUCUUUUGAUUUUAAACUCAAAAUAAUUCUUUCCCAAAUAUAUUUUUAUUAUUGAAUAAUAUUUCAUUCUAGUAAAUAAUAAAAAUUUAAUUGAAUGUAUUAAAGAGUUUGUCAAGACUCAAAACAAGACUAACAAAAAAAUACAACAAAUGUAAAAAUAAUGAGUAUCUUCUUAAGAAGAAACUGGGCCUUGUUGAAGUCCAUUAAUAAGUAUUUGAUUAUUACAUAAGAUGUCCCCAAAGUGCUCAGGCCUUUGAUUUUUUCUAACCACUUUUUAGUACAUGACCCAAAUAUUAUUUAUAUAUAUAUAUAUUUUUUAACGGUAUAAUGUAUAAAUUGAAAAUUUGCCAAUCCAAUGCGUUUUAAAAUAGCGAAAUCAUUCUUGAGUGUGUUUAUUUAUACAGUUUUACACGUUUUAUCUUCUUAAAAUUUUCCUCAAGUAUUACAGAUUUAGAUCACAGUAAGCCAGUAAAUGUAACAUAAAAUUUUACACUAGGAAAAAUAAAAGUUUACAAUAUAUCUUACAUGAUGGUGAUCUUUUUUCCGUUAUUCUUCUACAAGGACAGAUUAAACAAUAUUACCGAACACAAAAGAUAUAAUAUGAAAAAGAAAAAGCCAACGAAGUUGAAAACUAUAUAUAUAUUGAGGAAACAAAAAAAAAUUGUAUCGAAAGAUUUAUAAUUUAUAUAGGACAACGAAAGAAUCAUAAAGUAAACGUUUAUACCAGUGGCAAAACCGUAAAUCGGAGAAUUAAGCGGAGAAGAAGAAGAAGACAAGAACAGGGAGGAUCACGGCGGCGAUGAAUGAGAAUUUAGGCCGGAAAGCACCGUUGGGAAGAAAAGGGUAAGAGUCAGGAGGAGGCAUGACGCAAUUGUCUCCAUUGAAGUAAAUCCUGCGAGGAAAAGCCCAACCUUUUUCGAAAGUGAAGGUUGACAGAUCUUUACGGAACAAAAUCUCUGAUUGAACAUUCCCAAGCGGCCCUGCUUCUGAUAAGAAAUCAUUGUAGAACUUCACUCCCCAUAACAUUGCUGUAUCGUCUGCAAAUACCAAGUUCAAUAAAGGUUAAGUCUUUUGAGUUAAGGAGACAGAGAGAAGAGAAGAGAGGAGCUUUCUCUCUUUGUUUGUGUGUGUGUGUGACUCUGCUUACUUAAUCCGGCGUAAGGAGUGAGAGAUUUGUAAUUGAAACUGAAGAUCUGAGUGAUGUUGUCCAGAUUUGGGUGUUGAGCUACGAGGUUCCAUUGUGUGUAGUUCAAUCGAUAGUUGAAGUUUGUGAUUGUGAUCUUCACUCGCCAAUACUCUUUGUAGUUCUGCUUCACGUGCCAAUGCACACGGAUCGGGCACAUGUGUCUUGUGCAUUGUACUAGUGGCGGUAAUAUCACUCCUUUCUUUGUCGGCGGUGACACAACUGAGGCCAAGUGUGGUGUAUCCGGGCUGCCAUUAUCAUUUAAAAGUUUGAGACUUUAUGAUUAACAAUUCUACAGAGACAAGAAAAGGAAAACUGAUUUGAAUAACUUACUCGAGGCAGGCACCGGAUUCUGUUCUGUUGUUUUGGCAUCCGCAAGCACAAGUUGGACAUCCAACAAUGGUUUCAUUGUAGAAAGACGAUAAAGAGACGCAGCAAGUCGGAGUUCUUUGAGCAAGGAACUGCGAGUAUGUGCACGUAAUGUUCCAUGUCACUGCGGUAAUUCAAAUUUGACCCGUCUGUUAGAUUAGAAAUAAUGUAAACAUUACGGUUCUAAAAAUUCCAGCAGCAUUCUUAGUUCUUACUCAUAGCUUGAGUGGUUCUGCGUGUGUCCGUUGUGACAAAUUUAGUUGGUCUGACAAUCUUUGCUGGGCCACAAGUGUAGCCUGGACCAGGUCCCAUGAGAGUGAAGUUUCUUGGCACCCGAACGGUUUUGUUUGUGGUUCCAGCCGCGCCAACACUGAUCUGGAAGGAGCUAGCUGCAGUAGCAGGGUCCUGAACCCAUGAGUUCAUGACACCGCCUUUGCAGCAAUUUGCAAUCUGCUGAUUAUAAGGAGUCCCCGGGAGCAAAUCUACAACUGUUGGAUCUUUCUUACAACAAUGUGGAAUGUUUCCUUUGUACUUUGAACAAUCACCUGUUAAACAUUACAUCGAUAAAUCAUUUACGGAUAAUUUGCAGUCAUAAUACAAGUUGCUAGAACUUGAAACAUUCAGUUACCUUGCUCGGUUGUUUGUGCUCCAACCAUACUCCAAAUAACUUCCUUCUUUGCCCAUUUCCAACCUAAUGUCCAUCCCGGAGACUGAAUGUGUCUGUAUUUCUGGAAGUUGAACAUUGUAACAACAGCCUGGAUAGAACACAAAAACAGUUUAGCUGAAAAUGAUUUUAAAAAGGCUAAUCUUUUUGUUAUAGUUCUUAAACUUACAACAUAGCCAUCAGGAGUCCAGCUCAUGACAUCCCAUUUCAUUGUAAUGUUCCCUUCUGGAUCAAGCGCAUCAUAUGCUUCUGCAAAAUAAAUUACCAAAAGUCGUCAGAACUUUGUUUAUCCUGAUUCACCUUUACUCACAAACACAGUGAUUGCUUAAUCUCAACAUUAUUAAUAAAUUGCUUUGUAGAGUUAGACCAACGAACUCAACUAGUAUCAAUCAAAAUUACUACUUAUAGAACUUUUCAGAAAGUUUCUAUUUUUGGAUCAGAGAACUUGAAUCUCUGUUUCUUUUUAUUUCCGCUUAUAUAAGCAGAAUUGAUUAAACAUAGGAAAGCACUAAUAUGGGAGUUGAAAAGGUGCUGAUAUGAGGAUCUGAAACACAAACCAUAAUCAUUUUAAUGUUCAUUAAUUGAGUAAAGAUCUAUACAAGAAUGAGAGAAGCAAAUCAUGAUUAGGCAAUUCAUAAUGUUUUAUCUCAAAAAGUAAAGCAGAGGAUUCAUCAGAUCUCUUUAUCAAUUCAAACAAACAAGUCAGUUGAAAUUGAAGAUCUCAAGAUGCAAGAACAAAUGAACUUGAAAGCUCAAUAAAAAAAGAGCAAGAUUGGGGAAGCUGAAGAAGCUUUGAGACGAGUAAAACAGAACAGCUGUGUGAUAAUGAGAAUAAGAAGAAAGUAACCUGUACAAGUAAAAGAAGAUGAAGAAAUCAAGAACACGAUCCAUAAGGCCAAGAAACUCAAUUUGGCGACGACGGAGGUGGAUCUGGAGAAGAAAGACUCCAUUUUGAAUCCUCUGUUGAUCAGAGCAGAGCCAGAGACUAGGCUUGUUCCAGAUCCCCUUAGAUGGGUCUGGCUAAAUCUAAAAUCCAAUCUCACAGUAAGAAGAAGAUGAGGAAGGUGCUUUGCUUGAAGGAGGAGUGGACUUGUAGAGAGAUAUAGCAACAAGAUUUUUUUUGGUUUUAGCUGUGGCGAAAAUAAAAUACGAACGAGAGAGGCAAUGAGCAAUUUGGGAUCUGGCUGGCUAGUGGCUGUUUUAGUAAACUUUUAGGCGAGUCUGAUGAUUUGACCAUUUUACCCUUAGACCAUUAUGGACUUUAAUUAUUUGAUUUCCGAUUAAAGAAACUUAACCAUCUUGUUAAUAAGCACAUUAAUUAUUCUCUUGCUUUUCUAUGCUAACUAAGUAAGAUUAACUUUAUAAUAAAUUUAAGUUCUUUGCCUCUUCUAUUUCUUUUUCUUUCUUUCUUUUUUCCCAUUCUAAGGUUUUACUAAAAUUAGUAACAUAAUCUGAGACAUUUGAUGUUGAAACUUUUUCCUCGGUGAUAAUUUAUUUGAUUUAUUAAAAACAAAUUCAUAAAGUUGGAAGUAAUUUUUUUUUCCGAUGAAUUGUUAAAAUUUCUUGAAAACUAACACUUUUAUAUUAUUAUACCUCUAAUAGAGGUUGAUUAUUAUGUUUAUGAAUGAGAGAGGGGGUAUUUAUGUAAUUUUGAUAAGAAGUUAGUUUAAUACCGGAAGAUAUUACCGAAGACGACAGCUUUAAGAGGAACGUGGGUCAUUGACAGUGUUUUCGGCUGUCGGUGGAAUGAAGAUAUAUAUAUAUAUAGAUACACGAAUAUGUGGACACAUUUUCUCAAUUUUUAUUUGGUUCGUAUAAUAAAAACAUAAUAUAUAUAUAUAUACUUCAAUACUUGUGUAAUUUUGUGUUGUGAUAACUAAGUUGUUACUACAUAAAAUUGUAACUAAUCUCCUUUUUCUGUUUUCUUUUUUUUUGUGGCAUGAGAAAUUACGAAAUAUAAAUGUGUCGGUGAGUCUCUUUACUUAGGUGACCAAAAAAACAAAGUCUCUUUAUUAAGUUAAUUAAUCUUUUAAUUAUUAUAUAAUUUGGAAGUAGUGUCGUAACAACUAUUGCAUUAUAUCAAUUUUACAAGACAAGUGGUUCUAGUCCCAACAAAAUUGAUGGAGUAUUUUUGGACGAUUAUCAAUUAAAUUUACAUAGUUAACCAUUACAAUUCCCUUUUCAACUUUAUAUUUGUAGUAGUUAGUAAAAGUUAUUCAACUAAAAAAAACUCGCGAAGUAAACAUAAAAUUAUAUUUCGAAAUUAGUUCCUCGAUGGUUAGUAAACGAUCGUUGUCAAUAUAUGUGAAGACGAUUAUUAAUUAAGACUACCAUUCCAAUAUUAUUUAAUUGCUGUGGUUACUUGUAUCGUUGCUGAUUACGUUACUUUAUGUGUUUACUUUUGUAAAGCGGAGAGUUAACUUUCUUCUAUUGCCGACACUACCAAGAACAUGAAGUUGAUCAAAGAACAGUCAAAUCUUAAUUGAUCUUCAAACAUUUUAACAAUUUUACCUGUCUGAGAGGAUUCACAACAGAAUCUGAAUUCACAACCCUAAAAAUCAUGUUUGUUAUGUCAUCACACCAAAAAAAAAAAAAAACAGGCACCCUUGGAAAGAUUUUUCAAACCCAUCUUUCUUGCAUCUCAAGCGAUGUCUCUGUUUCCUCUUUAGAUCCGACGGGUGUAGUUCUCCUUUUCAUCUGAAGUUCUACUUCCACUUGCCCUACCCGAAUUGUUCUGCACUAAACCACCAUUACCGACUACUGAUUCACCGCCGCUUUGAUCUGCGUUUCUUUCUCUCAACAAGUUGCUGCCAUUAGAAGACGCUGACCUCAUUGCCCUCGGUAGCUUCAGUUUCAUAGACUCUCCUGAGUCGCUGUUUUCCGGCUUUGUUGCUGUUUCCACCUCUAAAUCUACCGGAUUAGCUUCUUCCUGAGGUAAAGCUGGUGUUGCUGGCGGACCUACAGGAAUAAGCUGAAGCACAGUCUUCUUCCACUUCUUUCUUUGGCUUGGUCUUGGCACAUUCGAUUUUCCCUGAAACCAAAUUUCAUAAAAUCAGAAAGCUGUUGUUUCCUAACUACACGAAACAGAUAAAAGGGACUGAUCAUCAAUAUAUCGAAAAUUCUUUAGUUUUACCGUCGUGUUUCCUAUGUCUGAUAGAGGUUUUCUUCUUCUUCUUGUUCCUCCAUCAUCGUUUGUCUCCUCCCCUGGCUUGUCAGCAAGAGCGUUCUGUAGCAGCAUAGCUCCGCGUGAAGCAAGGACUUGUUGUUGUUGGUCUUUAUGUUUCUCAUCAGAUUCUUGCGAGUUCUCCCCGUUCUCCAAGGCUUCUGAUUCCGAGAUGGAAUUUUUCUGCUUCCCAUCUGCGUUUCUGUUGGAGCAUUUCACUGAAGAACAUCCACAUGACGGACCACAAGAUCCCUUUGUAGCUCGGCACUGACACUUCAUUGUCUUGCACGAGGAGCUCUUACUGCAAGUGCAACAACACACGUCAGAUGAUGAUGUGGAUUUCACUGCAUCAUCUGAAGGAGCUUCAGAGUUCUCUUCAUAUGAACGCCUCAUGACCACACUCGAGCGCCGUCUUCCCACUUUGAAGUUUCGUUUCCUAUUCAACUUUAUAGCCGAUUCCUGCUCUGAUUCACGCUCUGAUUCAAGUUCAGGUUUCCAUUCGUCAUCAAUAUCUAGAUCUUCCCGUUCAUGGUCUGACUCUUCAGAAUCUGAGGUAUCCAUGUCCUCAAGAACGAUAAUCGAGUUUCGGGUUUCCUGCUUUUUCAAAUUAUGCUCGUUGUUUCGGUUGUUUUCUGCCGACAAUUUCUUCAUCGCCGAGGUCUGUAAUAUGGAAUGCCAAUGGUUUUAUAUGCUAAAUUAAAGCUAGAAGGAUAAGAAAUUGACUAUAUAAUGAAACAAGAUAGAAGAUGUUUUCAACUUACCAGUGCUUUCACCUGAUGCACGAGGUCUGAUUUUUGGAUCUCCAUGUACCUAACAUAACUGCUAAACUUUACUAUUUUUUCUUUCAGGUCUCUUAUAAGGACAUCCUUUUCUCUGCAGUCUGCCUCUUUAUCUCGGGCUAGACACCUUCACAGUUAAACAAAGAAGAAUGUAAGAUGAUCCUUCAGGAAGUACCUUAUUACUAAAAAUCAUCAGUCACUAAUUGGAAUGUUACCUCGCAGUUGAUGCCAGAUUGAACAGAUAGUUCAUGAUACUCUUCGCAUCACCUAAUGUUCGAACUUGGUUCCACCUCCCUCUUCCACCAAAGACACGUUCACGCUCUUCUGCUUCAGAUAACUGUGAUGCCAUGGAGACGAGAGUGUUGGAAGAGGUCGCAAGCAUAUUCUCCAGAGCAAAAAUCCUUGAAUUUCUUGCACCAGGAGACAUGGUGUCACCAUGAACGCUGCUUUGGCAGAGAAGACACAAAUUGUUUACUAUAUCUUUUUCAUCAUGAAUUGGUCUUGGUUUAUGCUAAAUUUUAGUCUUGUCCAGAUCACUCACCUUAUUUUGGCAUUCUUGAGCAGAUCGUUUUCUUCUCUUAGCCUUGCAACUUCCUUAGCCAUUCUUGCUCUCCUGAAUUAUAGCCAGUGUUAUUUAUGACAGUUUAGUAGGAAAUCACAAAAAACUUCUUCCCAGGCGAUGAAUCAUGAAAGACAUACUCUUCCAUUUGCCUCUCGUAUUCAGAACGCACUUCAUGAACCCGAACAGUGACUUCAAUCUCAUGCUCAAUUGCUUGCAUCAGUACCUGCAAAUGGAAAAACUUUGAAGUUAAAAAGAAGUUGCAUUUACAAAGUAAACCAGAACAAUCACCAAUAACUAAACUCUCUAAUUUUAGUCAGUAACUAGAAACGCAAAGCAUCAGUUUCAAAAUAUUUGGUGGGUGUUACCUGAGUUCCAGGACCAUUAACACUUGCCCCACCUGUAUAGAUAAUAGGAUACAGUAAGUAGCUUAUAUAAGACAUACAAACAAAGGAGAUCAUAGUAAUUCAUGUUAUAUAAAAAAUCCUCACUCAAUACUUCACGUGAAGACCCCUUUCGAGGUUCUAAAAGCUCUUUGAGUCUUUUUGUCACCUGAGAUGCCUCUUCUGUCUUUCUUUGCAAAACCUGAUAAAACCAGACUUUGAGCAGCCAUAAUAAUAGAAAGGAUCAAUAUUAUUGGUCGGGAGUUUAUAAAAAUGUUCUCACCAGCUUCUGUUUUUGAUUCAAGGCCAUGAGUUUGUGCAUCUCAUACUCAUUUCUCCUUCCCUCUUUUUUGAGCUGGUAAAGUUUAAUACAUGAAAAAAUCGAUGUUACAAUCCAAAAUAAUUUUCUGAAUAACCAAGUCAAAAUGUCUUGAGAAUCCUCAAAUCAAAUAUAUACAAGCACUGGUCAUAUUUGGCUACAGGUGACUAAUGACAGAAUGAAACUUGACAAGAAUCAGUAUUACUAAUCAGUCAAUAAAAUCAAGUUAGCCUCGAGUCAUCACUUAAAAAAAUUCUUAAUUCGUUUAACAGUUAGUUAGUAAAAUAUACCUGCAUGACUUCCUUCUCUCUCGAAGCCUUCCAAGCCCUGAACUGUUCUGACUCCUGCUUAAUCUUAUGCUGUAAUUGCACCUGAAAAGUAGAAUAAAAUCAGAUUAGCAUACUUAAGACACUCAUGCAUGAAUACAUAUACGAACAGGCCCGAAUAAAGAUCACUACAAAAAAUAAAAAAACACCUUCUGGGAUUUAAUUCUUUGUAUUUCAUCCUGCAAUUUUCCUGCCACAUCAUCACUUUUCUGCUUUUGCUUCAAAAGCUGAGUUUGUGCAUCUUGUUUCUUCUUCAGAACAGAAACCUAAAGGAACAAAAGACAAUGCCUUAUGAAAAUUUUCUGUGAAACACAAAUAUAACUAAUAUGUAAAACGGGAGUUACCUGUGUUUCAAGCGUGUUCAGUUUCUGAAGAUACUCUUCCUUCAGUUUCUGGGCACCAUCUCCUUUUGGUAUGCUACCAAGGUUCUGUUUCAAACCUUCAAUUUCUCUCUGCAUGAAUAUUUGAUUUAAUCAGUUAGGUUCAUAAAUUCCACUAAACUACAAUAUAAACCUCGUUAUACCAACCUGUAGUGCCCUUUUUUCCUGUUCUAGAUCAUGAACUUUUUUCUCAUAAUGUUGUUUGAGAACAGAUGUACCACCACUUGAAAACCGCUUCAUUUCAGCCUUCAUGAAAAUCAAAGUUUACUCAUACUAUCGUACGGAAACUGAGGAAAGAAUAAAAGAAGUACACUACAAAAAUGCAAAUAUACCUCCUUUUCUUCAAGUCUCUUAUCUAGCUCCUUUAGCUCCAUAUCCAACUUCUCUUGAAGUGAACAAUGCUCAAUCUCCUUUUCUUGAAAUUCAAGUUCAUCUGCAUACAAAGUAAAGCUACUCAAACAGAGAUUAAAGAAAUAAUUAUCUCGAAUAUUAAACCAGGGAAACAAUUCAGGCUAACAAUCUGCAAGUGACAAACAAAUUGUGGUUUUUAGCAUCUAAAUAUUUAAGGGCUAAGCUUCUUUCUGCAAGGCACUAAAAGAAAUGCUAAACCACUAGUUGUGGUACCAACCCGUCACAUCGAUCACUUUGUCUUCACAAUCUGACGACUCAUUAGAUGAGGGAAACAAGACAUUGUUCGAACGAGGCCCAUCGUCAUAGGAAUCAUCUGAAAAUUGGCAGUUACUUGAUUUCUUCAAGCUUUUGAUAUGCAACAGCUCUCCUUCUAGCUCUUGAAUUUUGGAAACAUACUUCUUCACCAAACCAACAUCCUGGAAAAUUAGACACUUUAGCGAAAAAAUCCAGUUGGUCGUAAAUUUCAAUGAAGGAAUCAUAAAGGACAUCUCACCUCAGUUUGGCAGUAUUCAAUCUCGUCCAAGGAUUUACCAUUGCGAACAGAUUCAAUUAUCAUUAUGAGUUUGUCCUUUUCAACCUAAAUGGAUGGGGAAAAAAGUGUUUAGGUGCUACAUGUCAUAUGGGCUAGAUCCAUUUUUUUACAAAAAUGUGUAAAAGAAAAACCUGAGCAUCAUAAGCACGCUUUGAGAAAUGCUCAGAAGCGACUCUCCGUUCUUGAAGUUCGUUUUGUAGCUCACGAUUGCUUGCUUCAAGCAGUGAUAUCUUAUGCUUGAGAAUCUAAUCAAAGAUUAUAUCAGUUAAUUAUUGAAAAUAUGACAAGCAUAAACCGUUACUGUUUGUCUUAGAUCAGAUUGAAUACCUGGAGCUCAUCAAAGGCACCACUAUCACCCCGAUAGAACAAGAGUUCUGUCUGCAGCUGCUCAAUUUGGCUCCGCAUUCUUUGCAUUUGUGCGGUUGCUGGGUCUCGAUUGAUCUAAGUAUUGCAAGAAAUUACAAGAAGUUUAGGCCAGAAAUGAAUUAUUUUGUUGAGAAUUCACAGUUAAAAGCAAGACCUAAUAUAUGCGUACCACUGCUUUGUUUUGAAUAUUACGUGCACGAUUUGCAUAUUUGAGCGUAUUCAAAGUUUCCUCAGCAUUUGUAUCAGCUGGACUUACGCAAGCUGCAACAUUUAGAGAUCAUAAAUUACGAAAUAUAAUAAGAUGGAUGAAAACAUUUCUGUCUAAUGCUUGAUCAGAAAUGAAAUGAUUUAAAAACCUAAUAGAUGAGAAACCCAUACCAAUCAUCACAGUUUUGCUAUUGCCUCCAAGAGAAUCCUGAAUAACAGAUUAUUACCAUUAGCUUUUCUUCUUCUUCAAAACCACAUAUAUACAAGGACAUGUAGUGUAAUUGACAGAAACAUAAGUAAACUUAAUACCUGAAGCAAACGAGUUAACUUGCUGUCACGGUAAGGAACAUGACCUCCUUCCUUUCUCUUUUUUUCAUCUCCAAGUGCACUAAUUACAUUUCCAAGUGCUAGUAGACCUUUGUUAAUGUGAAUACCUGUGUAAAUAUACAGAAAAUAAAACUUCUGGUUUAGCCAUAGUCUCUUUCAAGAAACCAAAAGAAUAAUAUACAGCUCAAAGAUAGACAUGAGACAACCUUCUUUCAAACGCAUCCCAUCAGCUCCUGUUCGUUUUGCACGUUCUGACCCUGCUAAAUCAACCAAAUGGAGCUUUGCACAUAAGAUGUCUUCACCACCAUCUUCAGUUGUUGUGAAAGAACCGCUGGAAAUCUUCUUUUGUUCCAAAGUGAUUGUGAAGAUUGCAUGGGACCGACUAACAACGCAAGAUUACAUUAGCAUACUAGUAAAAGCUUAUACUUUCUUAAUACUGGUUUUAUAGAUCUGAUGUAAGAAAUUUUAUCUUUAUUCAUUCAUAACUUCUACUAAUGGAUCAGCCACAUUAGUUCUAGCAAGUAUAUAAGUAGUUAUAAAGAUAACGGGAAUAAAUUUAAGUGCAAUUCAGAUAAACAAAUUCACCUUGAUUGGCUAUUCAUGUUUGUGCUGCCAGUAGCUCGGGACAAAGAGCCGCGUGCUAGAAAAGAGCCCAUCUCCUCUUUCGUCUUGACUUCUGCCUCAGUAACGCCAGCCAAUGUUAUUCCUCCACUGGCAGUUUCUCUGAUUUGAAUUGGAGCUCUUGAGAGGGCAAUGUGCUUUGCUUGAACCCCAGUGUCAUUUUUUUGGAGAGCCGAGGAAUUUGAGUCAAGCAAAUCGAAAACUUCUUCCUUGAAAAUCUGCAUCAACAGGUAAAGUAUCAGUACUGAAAUUUACAAAUUAGACCUCGAAAAACAAGCUCCGAAGAGGGUUUUACCUCAAUAAAAGACACUCGUAUCAAUAGUUCAGAUGAAUCUUUGGUGGUCUCCACUCUUCUAAAUAUAUCUUCCAUAACGUUUGGUAUAAUCCCACCAUUUGUGCCAUCUCCAUUAUAAUUGGUACCCAUGGUGUAGGUUUUUCCUGAACCAGUCUUCAAUAGCAACAAACAGACAAAGAAAGAAUCUGAUCGGUUAAACUUAAAAAAAAAUAGCUUAAAGGAAAUGCAGAGUUGAGAAAAUUUACAAAAUCAAACCUGGCCGUAAGCAAGAACAGUUGCAUUGUAUCCUUUGAACAGCGCGUCGACAAGUGGAGCAACGCAAUGAUCAUAAAUCUCUGAACACGGGUAGCCAGCAUUUCCAUAAACGAAAUCAUAAGUAAAAGUAUGUGAGCCAAUAUGAACCUGUUCAAUACAGAAGAAAAGCCAACAAAAUGAGUUCUUUCAACUACAAUUAUAAUAAACUUACAAAGAAUCAAUUCUACAUAUGAACAGUCCUUUAUAAAUUCAAAUCUCAUCAUCCAUGAAAAAUCCUUUCAACGUUUUAUUCACAGCCCUUUCAGAAAACCCUUAUAAUUUCUCAAUCACGCAUAUAUUUGAUUUCCCAAACUGAAGAAAUUCUAAAUUCGAAUCUUAUCAGAAAUGAAGGAAUCUCACAAAAGAGUGUGAAAUUUUAAACGCUGAAAAAUGAAAUUAAAAAAAAAAACCCUUCAAAAUGAAUUACUUGUGGCUCUCUUGGGGGGACGGUAAUGCAAUCGGUGCAUCCGUUCAGAAGCUCCGGCGUAAUCAGCGGCCGUAUAUUGACCGCAACCCUAACGCACUCAGUGCUCUCCAUCUCCGCCGCCGGCUCAACCACAGAAACCCAGAUUCCUCGGGUUCGGAUUCAAUCCAGAAACAAUUCCCACCUCCGACGAAUGCAAAAACCCCAAUCAAACACCACGAAAAUGUAGAUCCAAUCCUCAAACGUAAGAGCUGGGUAAAAAAAUUUCGUGAAGAAAAUUCUCAGGAAAUGACAAACAUUGAGGCUAUGAGAUUUCAAAUUUUGAAGAUAGAGAGAGAAAGAGAAAGAGAAGGGGCACUUUUUUGUUUUUUGAGAGGUUGAUAAUUAUAAUAAGAAAAACCAGAAAGGCAACAAAUUAAUACUCUUAUGGAAAUGUAAAAUGUAAGCGCCGCUCAGGUACGAAUUCAAAUUUUUCAUUCUUUGCGUUUGCGACCGUUACGCACGUGUCAUGCACAUGAUCAGAUCGCUAAAUAAUAUUAAAGGCCCACUAAGUUUAUAUUUAAGCCCAUGUUUUAAAUUUGGGCCCAUUUUGAUUCUUAUUCUGAAGUGAGUGUAGGAGGAAGACGAUGAUUUACACUUGCACACUUUCACAGAGUUUAUGCUCGGAGAUGGCGACUCUGGUUUCGAAUUGAACUAGUGUGGGAAGGUUUUUGAGGGUUUCGAAGUGUUGAGAAAUGGUGAACAGUGGAGAUUUGGACCAGGCUCUGCAAGAUGGGAAUAUAUUUAGACAGCUCAAUGCUCUAAUCGUAGCUCAUCUCCGUCAUCACAAUCUCUCACAGGUGUGUCUUUGCUAUCAUUCUUAAUCAUACCCUGAUUCUAAUUUUAUAUCUUGUACAUACACAUAUGCAGCGUACAUCAAUAUACGCUACUUUGAGUAUAGGAGUGCUAAGUGAUAACCAGCUAUUCAAAUUGGGAUUCUGAGAAUAUCUAUUUUUGGAUUUUUUUUUUUUUUUUUGUGUCUUUUCUUGUGGUGUUAAAGUGUGACACUUUGAAAUUCAGUCAGAUAUAUUUCUUUUGAAUUUCAAAUCAUGUGUGUUUAAAAGGAUGAGGUGUUUGGAAGAAGAGUAGUUAAGUGCUCAAGUUUGGAUUUUUCAAUACAGUCAAAUUGUUAAAGUUUUGAUUUCGGUAUCAACUUUUUAGGCGGCAAGUGCGGUUGCAUCAGCGACAAUGACACCAUUGAAUAUUGAAGUUCCUCCAAACCGUCUUCUAGAGCUUGUUGCAAAGGUUAUUGAUUUUUUUGCCUUUCUUCCACUUUCUGAAGAAUCUCUGUGUUAUAGUUUUGGAGUGUUUUGGAACAUGUUUGGUUCUCUGGACCAGAAUCAGAAAGAAUUUUUGGUUCUGAGAUGAGAACAGGGUCUUGCAGCGGAGAACAAUGGGACACUGAGAGGUCUUUCUUCAUCAGUCUUGUUACCCUGUUCUUAUGGAUCAAUCACUGCGCCUAGAACAGCUUCUAUCGACUUCAGGUGAUGUCUCGUUUUUUCCCAAUGAGUUAUGUUUCUUAAUAGAUGAAAUCAUAACAGCAUAUCAUCUAAAAAAUGUUUGGAAUAUGUCCUACUAGUGUUACUCAUUUGAAAGGCUCUUCAAAGGCUAUUCCAAAGCAUGAAUCCAAGACCCUGUCAGAGCACAAGGUAUAUAUAUAUAUAAAUAUUAUAUAUGUCUAAGUAGACACAAGUCAUACAACUUGAACUAACCCUUACUAAUGUUUCUUCGCGAUUUUUUAGUUUGGCUGAUAAGCUUAUGAAUUUUAUAGAGCGUUGUUAGGUGUGCAAGAUUUAGUCCUGAUGGAAUGUUUUUUGCAACUGGCGGUGCAGACACAUCAAUUAAGCUCUUUGAGGUACUGAAUUUUUUUCUUUUUCAUUGUACCGACCUUGUAUUACUAAGCAUCAUCAAGAAUUGAUAGUUCUGUGGCUGUUCUAUGUUGUUUCUUUAAGGUGCCAAAAGUAAAACAGAUGCUUUCAGGAGAUACUCAAGCUCGACCGUUAAUACGGACUUUUUAUGAUCAUGCUGAAGUAAGCCUUUCCCUUUUUCAUAAUUCUGCCACUUUCUUUUAGAUUUUUUAAUAUCUCUUAUACUUGUGAUUAUCAUUUGUAGCCAAUAAACGAUCUUGAUUUCCACCCUCGGAGCACAAUCCUAAUAUCCAGUGCCAAAGACAACUGUAUAAAGUAUCUAAUUUCCGUUUCCGUUUCCGUUUUCUCUACCUAAAUAGAUUCUCGCAGUGAUUACAAGAAAAUUUUGUGUUCACCUCUUUUUGUGUUAUUCUAAUGACUUUGAUAGGUUCUUCGACUUCUCGAAAACCACAGCUAAACGAGCAUUCAAAGUUUUUCAGGUAGAGAUCAUGGUUGUUAUCAGUUUCUGCUUAGCUACAUGGUGCAAAAAAACAUCGCAUGUGAUCAUAUCCUUAAUUCUUAAUUUUGCAGGAUACCCAUAAUGUGCGCUCUGUAUCCUUUCAUCCAUCAGGAGAGUUUCUUCUUGCAGGUGAUUGUAUAUUGCUGAGACCAUCUUGUGAAGUCUUUUUCUUUGAAUUCAAACAAUGAUCUAGAUGAAGAUCUGAUCAGUAUAUCGUGAAUAAGAAAACUAGGCCUUUACAGGAACCGAUCAUCCAAUUCCACAUCUGUACGACGUAAACACAUAUCAGUGUUUUCUUCCUCCAAAUUCCCCAGAUAACGGAGUAAAUGGAGCCAUUAAUCAGGUACUUAUCUGAUCAAUCUUCAUUGUGCAUUCUAUAUUCAUCUCUUGUGAUGAACAUGGAUUCAUGGCUGUGAGAUUCUUGGUUUUAUUCAGGUGCGAUAUUCUUCCACGGGAUCCAUCUAUGUUACAGCCUCAAAGGAUGGAGCUAUUCGACUCUAUGACGGGGUCAGCGCAAAGUGUAUACGGUCCAUUAACGGUGCACAUGGAAAGUCAGAGGUGACAAGCGCAGUGUUCUCUAGAGAUCAAAGGUAAGAAAAAGAUUCAAUCGAUUUUCUCUUACACAUCACUACUGUUGCUCAAUAGUUCUUGGCAGAACAAUUGAUUAAUUAUAUGGCUUUUGUUAGGUUUGUUCUCUCGUCUGGUAAGGAUUGUACGGUUAAGUUAUGGGAAAUAGGUUCUGGUCGAAUGGUAAAGGAAUAUCUCGGAGCAAAGCGAAUAAAACUGAGGUCUCAGGUAACCAAUUCUCUAAACCUUUUGAGACGAAAAUGUUUACUGGAUCCGACUACUACUAAACGAUCUUCAUUGUUGUGUUAUGCAGGCAAUCUUUAACGAAACUGAAGAGUUUGUAAUCUCCAUAGAUGAAGCAAGCAAUGAGGUUGUUACAUGGGAUGCCAGAACCGCAGAAAAAGUGGCAAAGUGGCCUUCAAACCAUAACGGAACACCGCGGUGGAUUGAGCACUCGCCGGUGGAACCCGUCUUUGUUACUUGUGGAACAGACAGAUCAGUUAGGUUCUGGAAGGAAUCCGUCUAGAAUAGAAUCCAAUGAAUCAAAGUAGUGUUUUUAUUUUCUUAAAACUUAAAGCAUACAUGAUACUACGAAAGUAUAGAAAUUCUGGAGACAGAUUUGCUUAUAAGAUAUUAUUUUGAAGAGUUCUGUUAUUCAUAUUGCCUUGUGAAAAACGCAAGUAAUGUUCCAGGUCGCUGCAUAAGAACAAAAAUAAAGCAGGUGAGUUUCAAAAUCAGAAUCACAGACUUGUCAAGAUUUGUUUCUAUAUAGAUACUUACCCAUGGCUGAAGUUAUUCUCCUGCCGUCUGCAGUUAUAAACUUGGUUGAUCGAACGUUCUUAGUCGGUCCACAGAUGUACUGUUGUUUAGGUGCCGAGAACAUGAAGUUUACCGGCAUCCGAGCAGUUUUUUUUGAAGUACCAGCUGCACCAACGGCUAACUGGAAUGAACUUUCUAAACCGGGUUUCAAGACACCGCUUUUGCAGCAAUUAGCGAUCUGCUGAUUGUAAGGAGUUCCGGGAAGCAAAUCGACAACUGUUGGCUUACGAAUGCAGGAAUGUGGGAUGUUUCCUUUGUACUGGGAACAAUCUCCUUGCUCUGUGGUUUGUGCACCAAUCAUGCUCCAGAUCACUUCUUUCCGGGUCCAUCUCCAGCUCAUUGUCCAUCCUGGAACCGAACGUUGUUUCUGGUAAUUGUAGGCUGUAACCACUGCCUGAUAUGGAUUUAAUCUUGAAGUUAAAGCAGAACCAAAGAUAUUGUGAGACAAGAAGAAGAAGAACUACUUACAACGUAGCCAUCAGGCGUCCAGCUCAUGAGAUCCCAUUUGACUGUGAUGUGUCCGUUGUUGCUGGAGCGAGCUUCUGCAGAUCAGAGAACACAUUGGACUAUAUAAGUUUUUUAAGACAAAUGAAGGUGAAUGUGUUGCAGGAGAGAGAUUUUCUUCAUCUUCUUCUCAUUCAGAGAUUUACCUGAAUAAGUCAAACAAGAAAAGGAAACCAAGAGCAGGACAAUCAUAGCGGAGAAGAGAGACUCCAUUGUUGUAGUUCAGAAUUGAAGAGAGGGAGGGAGAGAGUUUGUAAGAAGAGAGGGAGAGACUUUGUGAGAAGAGAGAUCAAGGCGACGACUUUGACUCAAGAGGGUACAAAAUUACACAUCAUUACAGUUGUACCACUUUAAUAUGCCUUUAUCCCCGGGAUUUUGUAUUACAUUAAAUAAAUCAUAGGACUAUUUAACAAUGCUUACUUGGUCCCGUAUAACUAAACUCAAAUUGUUUGAACAAGAUAAGCAUUAAAUUAACAAAGAAACUUAAUAAUUAAUUCUAUCCCCGAUUCCUGAGCCAAGCAUAAACUCUGGGUAAACGAUGCAUUGAGGCAAACCAAAAUUAUUGGAGCUAUUUGCUCGUGACCAAGCAAAAAGAAGAAUUCUCCUUACAAAAUCAUAAAAAAGGAAAGAACACAGACCAUAAUAAUCUUUAAAUAAUUCUAUCAGAUGUUGAAGAUCAUCAGCAUCACAUUCUUCGUCUCAUCUUGUUGUGCGGUUUCUUAACAAAACUCAUGUUGAUCUGCUUGAGCCGUCUCCUCUUCCUCGCGGUUUUCUCAGGUAACGUCUCUCUCUUCUUCACAUUGCUGUCCACUUCCUUGGUCUUCUUUUUCAAAAACCGUGGAUCGACUCUGUAUUCCUUGGGGCUAACAGCGAUACCUUUCUUAGCUGCUUCUUUGUACAAACCAUUAGCUCUAGUUAGCUGGUUAUUCGCACACAUUUUCCCCAUCAACAAAUCAUAAGUUUUGAUCCCAGGUUUGAUUCCAUUCGCUUUCAUGUUCUUGAACACACUCAUGGCAUGCUCAAGCCUCUCAAUCCCACACAAUAUCUUCAAAAAACCGUAAUACUCUUUCUUAGUCAAAGACUCACUGUAUCCAGCUGAUUUCAUCUUAUCGAUCAUUUCAUCUCCUUCACCAAUCCUAGCUGCUUGAUAUAAACUCUUAAUCAGAACAAGGUAUGUCUCAGCGUCUGGUUGACAACCCCAUUCACCCAUCCUACCAAACAAUGUCAUGGCUUCUUCGGUUCUCCUUAUUUUACAAAGAUUGUUAAUCAACACAUUGAAAGUCUCUGUAUUUCUGGGCACACCGCGGAACUCCAUUUCGAGCAAAACCUUCUCUACUUCAGGUUGAAGCUUAAACGGGUCUUUCUUCCUACAAAGCUUGCAAACGCAAUCAAGAAUCAUGUUAUAAGCUUUGGUUCCUAUCUCAAAUCCUCCUCUAGACAUCUCACCAGCUAACCUAGUUGCUUCAUCAAGUUUCUCAGCAGUACACCAACCACUAAUCAACAGAUCACAAAUAUUUUCAUCAGGAAAAAUAUCAUUGGCAGUGUUCUUCACCAUCUUCUCCGCGAUACUCGCAUGGCCUUUCUCACAAAGCUUCUUCACAACCAACGUCAGUGACUCUUUGUCACGUUUCAACCCGUAAUCGUUCUCCAUUUUCUCGAAAAAAUCAGUGACCUGCUUAGGUCUACCAGCUCGAACCAGCCUAUCAAUCGCAGACUCAAGUGUUUUAGCUCCGGAGAUACCUUUGUAUUUCGAGAUGAUCUCUAGCAUUCCUUUGAAAUCCUUCCGACGACCGAAGUAAUCGACGAAAUACGAAACUGUCUCAUCCGUAUGAGAGAAGCCAUUGCUCGAAUCCAACCACUCGUUAAACCCGAGAGCAGCGCGACCAGCUUCAGGGGACAGAUUCAGUGUUUGAAGAAUCAAAUCCGGAUUCGGCGUGAUGUGGGAGAAGCUGAGAUUGAAUCUCUGAGAAAUAGAGUGAGACUCCGCCUCUGGAUUCCCAGUGAGCUCCUUGGAGAAAGAGAGAGCAAUCUGAUUCGGAUCUGAAGAUUCUGAAUCCGCAUUUGUUUCAGAUGAGAAGAAUCUACAAGGAAAUGUUGAGAAUAUUGAGGGACGGGAAGGCGGUAGAGGAGAAAAAGAUGGUGUGGAAGAAAUGAGCCGUGACUGGGAUUGGAGAAUAUUAGCGGAGGAGGAGGAGGAGCCGAUAGUGCGGAGGAGCAGUCGCCGGAGUUGCAGAGACGGUAACGACGGCGGCAUUUUCUGAUAUUAGUGAGAGAAAAUUAGUAACCAGAGAGAGAGUGUGAGAAAGGGAAGUAGAAUAAAACCCUAGUUCAAGAUUUAGGAACAUCAUGCGUUAAUGGGCCUAAUUUUGGGGCUUUAACAAUUGAAGCCCGUUUUAAGAGUAAAAAGAUAUAUAAAUAAUUAUCAUCGCAGAUAUAACAAUCGGGGGUGUAGCUCAUAUGGUAGAGCGCUCGCUUCGCAUGCGAGAGGCACGGGGUUCGAUUCCCCGCACCUCCAUUUUGCGUUUUAAACCAGUAUAUGUGCAGUUUCUCUUUUUUUUUUUUUUUUUUUUAAAAUUAAUAAAUGCAGAGAGAGUCAUUGUCAUAGUCUCAUUGAGGUUAUCUAGAUGAUCAAUAUGUCGUAGUUAAUGUUGCAAGUUUCAACUACAUUUUAAAUUUAUAUACGGCUAACUAAUUCUCCUCAUAAAAGAAAUCAAAGACGUUUAUAAACAUAAUAAGUAAUACUAUAGACUAUAGUUUCGUUUCCAUCCAUAUAUCUAAGAAAGGAUCUUAUUGUUGUUCAUUAAUCAAAACAAAAUUUACCACUAAACAAAAGAAUCAAUUAAGCAAAAAAAAAAAAAAAGUGUUCUCAACAUUUUAUUCUGUAAAGUGUAAUUUCACUUUUCACGAUUGUAUGCAUAAUAGUCUCGGUAAAUGCUCAGCUACCGCACCUUCCGUUUUUUUCUCUAUUUCUAUUUUAACCGAAUUUGGGUAUGCUAAGAUUUUCUGAUAUGCUGUGCGAGAUUUUAAAAUUAAACCUCUUUUAUCAAUAUAAAAUUUUGAACAUAAUUAUCAUUGUUCAAACUUUAGAAGAUAAAUUUAUGUAAUUUUCUUUUUUAAUUUGGUAGUCUAAAACAUACCAUUUAAUAGGAGAGAAAACAACAAAAAUGUUGAUAAAAAGCAUUUUGUGACUGUCAUUUGCUUCAACCAAUCACCCAACCUUGAAGUUAAAGAGAACACCACAUAAAAAAAAAUAGGAUCAGUUGUGUCUAGAAACAAUUAUGAUUUUGGUAAAAAUGCAGUGAAAAAAGAAAAGAAAAAAAAUGGGAAUUAUUAACCAUGAGACCAGUAACUCCGAUCUAAUCAUCCAAACUUGAAACUCCCAUGUCAAGAAUCAAAAUUGUUGUGGUUCUUCUUUUUGACUUUAUCUGGUUGUGAAUUUUGCAAUGAAGAUGUCGCUAAAUGAAUAAUCCAUCCUCCUUUAAUAUAUUGGAAAACGUAGAAUUAAAUAAAUUAUAGGAGAAGAUUAGCAUCAUCGAAAUGCCUCCGUAGCAUAGUGGUAUUGCGUUCGCUUCGUAAGCGAAAGGCCGCGAGUUCGAUCCUCGCCGGGGGCUUAUUUUUGUUACAUCUUUUUUUAUUUUAUUUUUGAAGGCCCAAUUGUACUUAUAAGAUUUUUAGGUAUGUAUUAGUGGUUUGGAUUUAACCAAAUUAUGUAACAGGUGAAAAAUUGUAGACUAGGGUGUUCGGUGUUCCUACGACAGUUGUUGUCUUAUUGAUCCCAUGUAUGCUAAGUUAAUUCGUACAAUACAACACAGAGCUACUCAUCGCAAAAUACCAUAAUAUUCAAGAGCAAUUACGUAUGUGAUUAUAUAACUAACAAGGGUAAGUUUAUGACUCGAUCAACUGCAUAUACUUAAACAUUGACAAACUAUCACUUGAUGUUACCCUUUGGACCCCUUAAACAUUCAACUCAGCUGCACGUUCUACAAAUAUAUCAAAACAAAAUAUACAUCACUACAUCUCACUCUUUAAUUAGAGCACCUUAACCUGUAAAAAGCAAGUAAAGACGAUAAAUGCAAACAAUUAUACACCCUAAUUUGAAUUGUUUACAUAUCAUAUAUGUGUAAGGCUAUGAUUUGAUUAAUUGACGUCCACAAAUUAUGAUUCAUAUUAUCAAGAGAAACUGAACCUCACGCAAUCUCCAUUUUACCAUAUAGUAAAACUAUCAGAACUUCUGAGUUAUAUGUCUAAUUCUACAUAAUGAUGAGGGAUUUAUUCAAAAAAAAAAAAAAAAAAAAUAUUAUGAGUAAUACACAAAAAGAUCUCCAUGUCGAGGCAUCGCAAUAUUCCUUUCAAGGAGACCAAUAUUUUUUUUUAAACUAUAGAAUUGGUAACAAAGCUUUCUUUUUGUUUGCUCGUCUUUAUAUUUAUUAAGUAUUGUAGAUUAUGAGGAUAAAAAAAAGGUUUCUUUGAAAGCAUAUAUACUAUAUAGUUUUUAUAGGAUUUUUUAAAUGUACCAUAAAUAAUAACCUCUGAAAAAAAAAAAUUGAAAAAGAAAAAGGAGAAAACAAAAAGAAUUGCAUGCCUAAGUGAAUGAAUUAUUUGAAAAUGAAAUAAAGUGGACCUGUUUUUUUUUUUUUUUUUUUAUCUUCAUGUCUUAACUUUGAAGCAUGCCGGUGAUGAAAAGGAAGUUUAUAAUCAUAUGGACCAUGCAUAUAUUAUCCCAUUUAAGAUAAAAUUAGCUCUUUCCACUUAAAGAUUCUAAAGAUGGUAUCAUAAGUUUUUUUUUUAAUUAUUCGCAUUUUCACUUUGAUAAAAAACAAAAAUGUUAUCGUAGAUGUAAAAAAAAAAGUGCUAUGGUAUACUCAUUAUCUUAAAGAACUAAAAAGAGAAAGAAAAUGUAGGUCGAUAUGAAUUUCAACUAGAUAACAAAGAAAGAACAAGUGCAAUAAUAGCCUUUUUGAAGUAUCAGAAUAUAAAUUUCAACUCAUAUUUAUACGAAGAGAUGCUUGGUGUAGGUAUUGAACAGAAUUUUGGUUGAAAAAGGUAAAAAAAGAAAAACAAUGUAUGUAUAAUGGCAAAAUCUUUGAAUUUUCUUGACAAGGUGUGUGCCCAUCUAUAUCUAAACACAUGAUUUAUGAAAAGAUACAAAAAAAAAAACAAAAAAAAAGGACCACCAAAAAGGAAAAUAAGUUAUGUUUUGAAAAACCAAUAAUUUUAACAAAUGGGAACGACCCCACAACUUGGAGAAGAGAGAGUGAGAGAGAGAGAGAGAGAGAGAGAGCAAUAGGGAUCAGUGCUUGACUGCAAUUCAGUUGCUGUCUUAACUGCUUCUCUUCUUUCCCUUUCCUUCUCUGACCCUCCAAUCCCAAUACUCACCAUCGAUCAUCUUCUUCUCUUUCUCUCUUUUUCUUCUUCUUCUUCUUCUUUUCCUUUUCAUAUAUAUCUUUUUUUUUCUUGCGGUGGUAUUAUAUAUAUUCUGACCAAGGUUCUAUAAGGAGGCUCGACUCAUAUAUGUAUAUCAUGUAUCAAGAUCAUCAACCUUAUAUACAUGUAUUGUUCAGUAAAAUAAAGACAUACUAGAGAACGUUCCUAUAGCUAAGUACACAUUUAUGUAAGCAAAUAAAGGUUAUGAUAGCUAGGCGUUUGUACUUUUUUUUUUUGUAUUUUAUAUACUAUGACUCUAUGAGUGAAAACAAACAUAUAUAGAACUUAAUUCGAAACAAAUCUAGUAUGUACCAGUAAUUAAGAGGUAUAAUUAGACCAUUAUUAUUGAUAGGAUUUUAGGAAAUCUUUAACCUAUGAAAUAUCUUUUAUCUAAUAAACAAUUAAAAGUUUAAAUUUAAUACUAAACAAUUUUAAAAACUAACCUUAAAAACUCACCAUUAAAGAUGCUCUAAAAAAUUUAAGUAUAUAAAACGUUGAGAAUUAUUUAUAUAUAUAUAUAUAUAGCAUUCUUUUACAUGCAUCGAGAUCGAUUUCUGCAUUAUAUUGCUUUGACCUAAAUAGAAUCCCUCUCGCUCACACACGUGAAUAAGAAUGUGAAUGUGCUUACGAAUAUAAAUCCAUAUAUUACAUUUAUUAGCUCUCUUAUUGAAAUCAGUUGUGUGUCGUCGACUAAAGACUACCAGCGAUUAUUUAGUUUGAACUUUGAUCGUUUGGAUUCAAAAGUCAGCAAAUACGGAAAUAUGAGGACAAUGCUAGCUAUCUCUACUAAUUUGCCUUACAUAUAAUUUAUAUAGAUAGACAUGCUCACUUUGUUUUCUUUUGUUUUUGGUAACCGUCACUUUCUUAAUAAGUAAUUUAGUACAUACUCACAUAUGGAUGCAUAUGUUAUAUACGUGUACAUGAUUAUAUAUAGGUGUGACGCAUAUAUACACACGAGGCUAUAGCUAGGGUUUGGCAUGCAUUAUAUAUUGCCCUGCAACUAGCCAUUGUGAACAGCAACCUAGCUAUCUCUCUAUAUAUAUACUCCUAUUUUUGUAUCUACUUAUAGAAUAUGCGUGUUACGUAUAUAGUUCGUAUGAAUAAGAAUUUCGUAAUACGCCCGUCUAAUUAAUUAUACCUAGUUAUGAAAGAAAAUAAUGACUGUGGACAUAAAAAUUAUUUGAAACUUAUUUCUGACACACAUGACAAGCAACGACCCCUUCUGUUUCUUUCAUUUUAACUGUGCACCAAAAUGACUUUCUAUAUUAUAUUUUGAUAUAUUCUCUCCAAUAAUAUUUUUAGUUAAAGCUAUAAAUUUCAUAGUUACGAUUCAUUAUAUUCAAGUACUGACUAUGUAUUAAAUUAUUAAUGAUUGCAGAUUCAUUAUUGAGAUAAAUCAUACGAGAAUAUUUUGACAACAUCAAUUUGAGAUUACAAGUUUAAAACAAGAUGAAAACAUGAUAUGCUUCGCUAAUACAACUCGAAAUAUAUGUGAAGCAGAUCCAAAGAUAAGAUGAGGUAUAUAUAGGCGCCAAAUCAAUCAAAGGAGACUAGAACUAAACCAAGCAAUGGCGACGAACUGCUACAUAUAUAUAUAUGCAUCAAUCAUAUAUGUCCGGCCACAACUAACAUACACAGCGGAUGGAGUUGACGGUAGCAGCUGUUAAUUGAUAUGUUUUGAAUCUAAUCACAUGCUGUUUGUAUAACCUAUGGAUUUCAAUGGACAUAAGCUAUGUUUACUAUUUUACUCUAAUUCAUUUAAACCAAUUUAACCGCAAACCUAGGUCCAUAAUUGAAAUCCAUAUAUAUGCUAUAUUGCUACGUUUACUUAUUGCUAGCUAGGUCCAUUAAUUAAGAAGAUUUACUAAUCUAAAUAUAAUUAUGCAUGAAGAUGAAAGUACUAGAUUUAUACAGUUAUGAGAUACGUACCUAUAGUAUUCGAGUAAUUACUAUAUGAUGUGUAUGUAUAUUCAUAAAUGAAGGCAGAAACACAUUCAAGUAUAGUUCAUCCAAUUUCAAAAGCAAGCAAAGACUAAAUAGACAUAUAUCAAAACUCAAAAAUUUAUAAAUAUAUAACAACCAUCCUCGCAUUGUAUGAAUGUCUUUGCUCCAAUCCAAAUCCGAGAUUAUUAAAAUUUCCAUACAUACACGAGGAAGAUAUAUAUUAUAAAACCAACCUAACAAUACGCAUAUAUAUAAAAAUAUAGAAGAAUACGUAUACAUGUUUAUGUAUAGUGUAGGAUUUAGUUAAUCUUUCACGAAUCUGAAUCAUUAUCGCUACUAUGACGAUCCGUAUCAUGAUUCGAGCUCAUCAAAUGAUGAAAUGGUCUAAUCAAACUCGUAUUACCCGUCAUCAUCUGUUGCUGCGUCGCCGUAUUUGAAUUCGAGCUAAAGAGCUGAAGAUGACCAGCUCCAUCUACGACUUGAUGAUGAUGAUGUUGAUGAGAAGCUCCAAGAAACGAAGGGUAUGUCGGAAAUAGAGAGCUCAUAGCUGGAGGAGUAGGACCGAAAAAAAGCUGAGAUCCGUCUCCGGCAGACGAGGAAGGAGGGGGCAAGUUGAGAUUAUUGUUGUUAUUAGCAGCAACAUUAGAUAUAGCGACGGUAACGUUAUUACCGGAUUGGUCUAACGAUUGUUGAAGAUGUCCGAGGUUGUAAUAAGAUGAAGUGUUAUUGUAAGGAUUGCUCAGAGGGAAAUGUUGAUGGGUGGUGUCGAACCCUUGAUGAUCUUGAUUACUAUUCUCGUCGUGUUUGAUCCAUUUUCCUUUAUCAAGAUCGAAACUUUCCCUCUGGGUCGUAGCAGUAUCGGUUAUUCUUGAUCUUGUUCUUGAAGAACCACCAAGAUCCCAGUUUUCCAAGAACCCAAGAUUGGUUCCUGGAAAUGUUGUUGAAGAUGGCGACUCUCCGAACCCGGAGUUUCCAAAGAUGAGAUUUGGAUACAUUUGGUUAAAACCAUGUGGGAAUUGUAGAGGAGGGAGCUUGUCGACGUCAUCUUUUGCUGCUUCGAGUAACCAAUCGAUGACUUUGCUUGGCUGACUCAGCCCUAAUCGAUCUUGAAGGUCAUAGAGUUGAAUUGCUGUAGGUACGGACAACCUUAUCCUCCGGUCUCGAAGACCACGGACUGUACAGACUUUGCUGUGUCUGUCUUUGCCACCGAAUGUUCUCGAGACUCUAACGAUUCUUGGAUUCCUAAAAGCUGAAGUCCAUUGCCUUGAAGAUGAUACUGUACUCGGCUGUUGUUGUUGCAACAUGUGGUUUAAGUUUACCUGAUGGUUUUGACUAUUAUCUCCUUCUUGCUUUGCUUGAAUCUCCUCUUCUUCGCAUUCUCUUGAUCUCAUCUCUUGUAAUUCAAGAUAUUUUCUUAAGCGUUUGUAAAGAACAGAUCUGAAACAAGAAGGGAAGAAAUUGAACCAUUUAAUAGAGGAAAAAAAUCAAGAAGAGAACAAUUAGUUGUUGUAAGCUUCUGAUGGAAUGAAAUUGAGGCGAGGUGAUCAAUUUUUUGCUUUGUAAAAAUGUUUUGAGCACAAUUCACAUGAAAACAAAGCAAAAUAGAAAAGCUUAAGUCAUCUAAGAAAAGAAAACUCAUAAGAAGUUGAAAUUCAAAGAUAAUAUGUUCUUACAUCGAUAUUGAAGGCUGGUAAAAGCUUGAGUCCUAGUAUAAGAUCUAGCUUGAUAGAGAAUGAAGAAGGAAGAAGAAUGGAGAAUAAGAAAGAGAUAAGGAGGCAGAGGAAUGUAAAGUAUUUCUUUUUUUGGAAACUAGAAUUAUAUAUGUAUUAUAAUGAUUGGGGAUGUAAAAAUAAUUAAUAAUUAAAAUAUAUUUUUAUAUUUUGUAGAUUCCAAUCCCUAGGGUUUAUUAUUAUUAUUAUUAUUAUUAUAUUUUAUUUUUAUUUUUGUAUGAAAGGAAUUUAUGCAGAAAGACAAAAGAGGUGCAUUUUAUGUAGUGUAUUUGAUACUGUGAUGGGAAUGUGCAUGUUUCGUUAUACUCACAGUCACAUAAAUUUUUUUAUACUGUAUAAAAUAUCCCAUACAAUAGUUGACAAAAAAAAAACCUUUACAAUAAAUUUUAAUGUAUUUUAGUUUUCAAAUUUGGUUUCCCUUUCCUGCGUUUAAGACAUUUAUUUUCACUUUUAUGGAGUAUAGUUUAAUAUUUACCCCGAGUUUGUAAUCUGUUGUCUUCUUAUCUUAAUUUUGAAUUGGUAACAAAAAAAAAAGAAAGAACAUACGGCUAAAGUCAUUUAAGAGAAAGCGUGCGGUUGAAUAUAGAAAUGGUAACAAGAGCUUUAAAAAGUGAUAACAUAAAUGGUAAAAGAAGUUGCACUGUGUAAAACAUAUAAAAGAAUUUGAACAUUUAUAUUAUGAAUUAAAUUUUCAUAAUAUCAAAAAAAGAAAAAAAAAAGAAAAAAUGGAAGGACCAAUUUAUUAUAUAUCGGGACAUUUUAUUAAAUCAUAGUUGGUCGCUUCAUGAGACUGUUAGAGAAAUUAUUGAAUUACAUUACAUCAACUUUGAAACCCUAAAUCUGGUACUUCUAGAGUUGUUAAAAUCAAACUGUUGGGAGUGUUAAUGCGUCUACUUCUAAUUAAUUAUUUGUAAGGUUAUGUUUGAAGCAUAUAAAUAUACACAUAUAUAAAGUUUUUAUUUGUAAUAACAAUAAUAAGUAACUAAAUAUGAUUAAAUAGAUUGACAGCUAUAUAGGAGAGGUAAGGGUCUGUCUCUGAGAUAGGGAAUGGACCAACGAGUUCUAUAAGUUUUUUUUCUUUAAAGCAUCUAAUGCUUAAAUACUCUCAUCGCAAAGAGAUUUGUGGACCACUCUCGUCUCUUCUAAUAAGUGUCUUUGCCACUGAGAUUUUUGCCCACAAAAUCACACCAUGCAUUUUCUUUCUUCUUUGUAUCCAACUUGAUCACCACUAUAAAGUCUUCUAAUAAUUGACCGCUCCUUUCGUCCACUGCUUAUUACGACGAAUAUUAUCAUGUAUUCUGUAUUGUAUAUAUAUAUAUAUAUAUAAAAAUUGAAUUCUACGUUUUUUGUUAUUCUUGUAAUGUGAUAGACCUAAGACUUGUACCAACUUUUUUAUUGAGUAAUAUUGGUCUAAAUAUUGGUCGGUGUUUAAGUUCAAAUAUGUAGCAACAAUAUUAAUUAAUACGCAAUAAGUUAAUAUAAUUUGUGGUGAAAUUUGUCGCAGCAAAAUUUUCAUCCCAAACAACAACAUGCUUGCGCCAAACCUAUCCGUCGUCUAAAGCAGCCCACUACAUAGCUAGCCGUCUUAAUUUUGUUAUUGCCAAUGGAAUUGCUUGGUUCUUUUUAAUGCAUGUCCAACCCAAAACUUGAUCUUCUUAAAUUGAUUAUGGUAAAUUUUCGUUAAAAAUAACAAUUGUUAUAUAUAUUUACUAUAGUUAGUCACAAAUCCGUCUAAUUUAAUUAGGUACAAGUUUGUCUAAAACACUCUUUAUAUAUGCAUCAAGUUUUCUGAUAUAUAUCAAACGAAACUAUGACUAGGAAAGUAUAAUGGUUUUUUUUAUCAUAUUAAUUAAUUAUGUGUAUAUGUGAUUUUAAGUAAGUUCUGUAUUAUUAUUUGCAGUUUUUUUUUCUUACGAUAAGGGUUUGCAAAUUCUAAUUGUAAUAGCUCGUACCAUGCGUCAUCAUAAAAGUUUCUCCCGUACGUAUUCAUACACUAAUCUAAUUCCUAAUAUUGUUUAUUGGAACUUCUUAAUGUUCCUGUUGACCAAAAAUAAUAAAAGCAGCCGAGUAGUACUAUACGUAUGGGGUAUGGCAGGCAAAAGUAUGGGUAUCAAAAGUCUAUACGGACUGCACAAACGAAGAAGAAGUAGAGAAUAUAUAUAUAUAUAUGGAGAUGAAUGAUGAUUGAUGAUGACGGGACUUGAACUUCUUCUGGGCUUAACUUCACCUUACUUUUUCCAACAUAUAUAGGAUAUUGUGAUCCUUAUACAGACAAUACCCUAUACGUUACAGUUCAAUGUUUGUAUUCAUGUAUACAUAUAUAUAGAUGUUUUAAAUUUCUGACUUUGGGCUGAGUUAUGUCAAAAGCUCUGCCAAAUUUUAAUUUUUUUUCAGUCUGUGUUCAAAUUGAUUCUCCAUGUGGUUCGUUUUUUAAUAAUCAGGUUAUUGUUUUCCCCUCCCCAUAAUAUUUCGAACUAAAUAUAAGUUAGGCAUUAGAAACCCUAACCCACUCUAUAUAUAUAUGUAUUAGUUACGCCCUACUUUUAAGAAUAUUUACAGUGCCUGCAGAGUUUAAACUGAAUAUUAACGACUUGUAAGAAAGAAAGAAAUAGAGUUGUAGAUGUCGGAGAAGAAAAAUGGUACUCAAGAAUAAUAUUUUUAAGCAUUGUAGUUGACUAUCUGUAAAAACUAUAAAUUACUAAUAAUUUGUUUAUUCCCUACCGAAUUCUCAUUUGGCAACAUAAAAAAAAAAAAGUGAGUAUCUUUAUGCGAUUGAUUCGAUCCGGUCUUAAGACAACCUUAAGGGUUUAAUUAGAUGGGUAUACAAAUAUAAUUAAGAUAUGUGACUUAGUAUCAAAAACAUAAUAUAGUUAAGUACAAUAAACUCAUUUCAUGUAUCUUUUUAGUUAUGGGAUUGGACACUUUUGUUUUUUGACGUAGGAACACCGAUUCUUAUUGCAUCCAAAAGUACUCACUACAUGUUGUCUUUAAUUAGAUCUUGAACCAUCAAGAUAUUUUAGGCCAAUAAUAGCACCACUCUGUUCAAACUUAUGUAAAAUUCAUUAUACUAUGAAUCAAGAAAAUCUAAAAAAAUAAAAAUAAAUAGGAUCUCCGAUUAUCCUAAUAAACUUUUAACUUUUUGCUAAGUUGAAUUAUGAUAUAAGUAUGAAACACUGUCUCAAAUUCUCAACAAUACAUACAAGUGUUAUAUGAAAACGAAAACGAUGGAAAAUUUAAUUUUAUAACUUUCCACCAAAAGAAAAAUGUUAGGCAAGUUGGUCUUACUUAAGCUAUCGCCAUCAGAACGUGUGCAGGGUCACCAAUCGGACUAAAUACCAUAAUUCAAACAAAUGGUGAAAAAAAUAUCCAAAUCUUGCAUACUUGCGUUAUGUGAUGAUACCAACGAAUCAUAACAUCCACAUCUCAUCUAUUUAUUAAUUUCUUCUACUAGCUAGUAGACGAGAAAAUCAAAACAAACAAAAAAAAGAAUGAAACGAUCGAUGUGGUUCAUUAUCUACAGAAGAGUACACGAUAGCCUAAGAACGUCUUCUUCUUUUUGUCUUUUGGUUACUGAUCCGUCGUUUUCUUGGGUCUGAACGUCAGUAAAUGCAGAAGGGCUCAUGCUGAGACAGACAAGGACAUGUCCUUGUAAGAGACAACACCAAAAGGAGUAAAAACCCACCAAAAAGUAAACUUAUUUACACCCAUCUUAUACUUGUCUGUAUAUAUAACUAAUAUAUAUAUAUAUACAUGCAUGCUGAUGAUGAUACUGACAUUAUGACAGACAUACAUACAUACACAUAACUGCUUUCUCCUUUUUGUAUUAUUGAUGCAGUAAAGGUGUCUUCAGAGUUUGCUGCACUGAAACUACUCGUUUCUCUCUGUGUUUUUCGACUGUUGCAAUGGCAAACCAACUCUCUCUUCAUAUUUGGCAAAAAAAAUAAAAUAAAAUCACGGGUUCGUAUAAGACAAAAUACACAAGGUUUUAUAAGCCAAGACAAGUAUUGGCUUUUAUGGAGAAAUGGAUAUGGUACUCGUAAGGUGUAGACGAAUUGAUGAUUCUGUUUUGUUGAAAUUUUGGUUUUUCUGUAGUAUUCGUUUGGAUUCCUCUGUUGUCGGUAAGCCAAAUAGCCUCGAGGGAUUGAGAGGAGACAAAGUGGAAGAUAUGAGCCUGCAAAAAGGAAGAGAUAAUGCAGUAAGAAAAUUGACUGUAACGGACUAGUGUGAAGUGCCUUUAAUGUCUGGGGGAAGCAAUAAGCAAAGGAGACAUUUCUAUAAUUAAAAAAAUAUUAUUGCAGAUAUUAUAUAUGCUUUUCGAGCUAUGGCUGGAUCUAGAAACGAUAAAGCAAUCCCAUGACUCAAGAACUGUACCUCCAUGCAUUGAACUUUAACAAAUGCUGUAAACACACAUUUUUGCAGUAGUAUCAGGAAUACAUUAAUAUAUACAGAACAUGGAUGGAGGAGUAUCUUUUCUGCCAAGCCUCUGAUUGUUUCAGGACUGCGCAGAACUGUUGGCUCCGGAAUGUUAACUCGGGUAUGGACUGACCCGUGGCUUCCCACCAUCCCACCUCGACCUGGUAAAAGUGUUCUAGCUUUUUAAGAUCCGCAUCUGUAUGUCAAUGAUCUACUGAAUAGGGAUACUCAGGAAUGGAAGCUUGAACUUUUGAAUGCUAUUGUGGACCCAUCGGAUAUCCCUCUGAUUCUGGGCAUUCGCCCUAGUCGGACUUACCUGAGUGACGGAUAUAGCUGGGUUCACACAAAAUCAGGGAAUUAUACUGUUAAGUCAGGAUAUUAGGCCGCGAGAAAUCUUUCCCGCCCUUCUUGUGACCUCCCUUUUCAGGGACCGGAUGUUUCGGCACUCCAGGCACAAGUGUGGAAAACUAAAACCACAAGAAAGCUAAAGCAUUUCAUGUGGCAAUGUCUCUCGGGUUGCGUUGCAACCUGCCAAAGACUUUUCUCUCGACACAUUGGUAGGGAGAAAGACUGCCUCCGUUGUGGUCAUGAAGAGGAAUCAAUUAACCAUCUCCUCUUCGAAUGCCCUCCGGCUAGGCAGGUCUGGGCUUUAUCCCCAAUACCCUCUUCAGGGACGGUGUUCCCUCGCCAAUNNNNNNNNNNNNNNNNNNNNNNNNNNNNNNNNNNNNNNNNNNNNNNNNNNNNNNNNNNNNNNNNNNNNNNNNNNNNNNNNNNNNNNNNNNNNNNNNNNNNUCUCUUUUGGAGAGGUCAAGAAUUGGAGAUAGACGUAUCCAAUAUCCACAACUUCCCUUGGAUUUUGUGGUUUAUUUGGAAAGCCCGUAAUAGGUUUUUAUUUGAGAAUAUAAGGGUGUCACCUGAGGAGACCCUUCUGCUUGCUACUCAUGAAGCAGAAGUGUGGCGGCGGGCUAUGGAAGCAGAUGCUUCGUCAGAUCCUCCGCCACCUCCUUUGGUAGUCCAUAGGCCCCUAUCCUCCCCAAUUCUAGAAUGCCAAUGUGAUGCCUCCUGGCUGGAUUCCGAUCCCUUUAGUGGUCUUGGGUGGAUCCUACUGGAUGAUAGAGGAAAUUUCUCGCAAGGCCACUCUUGGUUUGGACUCAAGAGUGUUAGAAGGUCCCUCUCACCCCUUCAUGCUGAAUGGGAUUCCCUUCUUUGGGCCAUGGAGAGUAUGCUAGCGCUUAGUCAUUUCAACGCUAGCUUUGCCACGGAUUGUUCGGAUAUCCUUGCUGUUUUGGAGGCGCCAUCGGAUUGGCCCACGUUUGCAGCUGAAUAUGCUUCCUUUCGUGAUCUAAAGAAUUCUUUCUUGGACUUCAAUAUCCGCCGUAUCCCGAGAAAGGAAAACGGGCGCUCAGACUACCUUGCAAAGAAAGCAAGAUGCCGUGGAGUUCAUUUCUCCUACACAAGCACAUCGGCACCUUCGUGGCUCUUCCUAGAGGAGAGUUUAUUCCCGAGAAGCUUGUAAUUUAGUUCUUUAGACGAUAAAAAAAAAAAAAAAAAAAUAUAUAAGUUCCUCUUUUAGCCUUUUUGAUAGAGAUUAGGGACGGAGAUGACCAGAAAAAUACAAGUCACAGUUAGGUAUUGUAUCUCCAUAUUAAUUAUGCAUUAAUGUAUAGUGUAGUAUCAUAGAAGGGAUUUGGACUCUAUUUCAAUUUUAGAAACUGCUAAUUAAUUAAUUAAAUUGGAGAAAAAAGAAACGAAUCUGCAUAUUAAAUACAUCAAAGUCUUGCGAACGUUAAAAAACUACAAUGAUAUAUAUAACUAAGGAUGUUAGUAUCGUUCAUCAUUCAAAAACAAACUCGAGAUAGAAUCAUUUUUAUACCACAUACUAUAUUAGAUAUUAGAUUUGAAACUUGUUAUUUUCUUAGUUAUAUCAUGGCUACCAACAACGUGGUCUUUCUUGUAGCGGUUGUAUGCAUUGUGGUUUCGGUAAAUGCUCAAGUACGACAACCACACUUACCUUAUCCAUUUCCAUUCGAACCUGGUAUGCCAGGAUUACCUAAUAUAACAAAAUGUUUGUCAACGGUGAUGAAUAUUCCUGGAUGCAUUGCUGAGAUUUCUCAAUCCAUUGUCACUGGAAAGUUUGGUAACAUCGGCCCGGCUUGCUGCAAGGCAUUCUUGGAAGCUGAAGCUAAGUGUAUCCCCAAAGUUCCGGUUAAUCCGUUUUUCCCUCCUAUGUUGAAAGAACAAUGCUCAAGAAUUGCUGGAGCAGUUCCUCCUGCCAAAAAUUAGAAUUCUUAAGAUAGUUAUAAUGUUAAACCAUUGUACGUUUUUUAUUUAUUUUAGUUGAACAAUAAAGUUGAGUUAUGAUAUUGUAUGCAACGAUAUAUUUUCUGGUAAUUAAGAUGCAAUGAUACAUUUAAGUCACUUUUCAAGAGACCUCGAAAUCAUACUCUACAAUGUAGUCACGUACGUACGCCUCAUUGACUAAGUUUGCACGAAAGUUAUUUCGAAUGUACGAUUCUUGUUUAAGAAAACACUCAAGUCACUCCUAUCUGUGGUCUCUUGUCAUAUAUAUAGAGAAGCAGAACCUGAAGACUAUAAAGAAAAAAUAAUAAAGUCGAUACUUCCAAGUGUACUAGAGUCUAGAGAUAUCAAUUCACAACCAGAAUGGCUUUAUGUGUUCACAGUUCAGGUUCAGGUUCUCAUGAUGAUACACUAGCUAGCUAAUGCUAACAACUACUAUAUAUAGCUAAUCCUGAAAAAAAAUUUAGAACAUAUAUAUAUGUGGGCACGAAAAUCUCAUCCCGGUGAAAAAAUCAUACGACAAGUCAAUUGAAAACUUGUUAAAGUGUAUGAAACUUUUAGAAACUAAACCUGAAUUGAAUAAGAUCGAGUCAAAGUAAAAUGUACAUAAAAGAAACUGUAAACCGGUUUAUUGGUUUAAAUUUGGAAAAUAUAUACCGGUGAUUAAUGAGGGGAGGAGUCAAAUAUUUUAGUUUUUUUCUUUCUCUAUUUACAAUUUAUAAAACGGCUACACAAGAUCAAAUACCAUAGUUCCGUUUCAUUCCAUAGUAAAAGGAAGCGAUCUUAAUUAUUGUUUGUUCAUCAAUCAAAAACAUAUAUUUGGCUAUAUACGAACGUCUAAAUUAAAUCUAAACAUCAACUAAUUAAAUCCAUAGACGUUUCUUCAACGUUAUCGAUACAGUAGCUUUAUUUCUUCCCAUAUAAAUAAACUACGAUUGUACUAUUCGUUCAUCCAUCAGAACCAACCUUGGCAAAUAUUUAACAUAUUUGAGGAGCUCUCUUGCCUAGUUUGGAAUAAUAUCUCAUCAUGUCUAUAAAAAAUGUUGUUUGUCUUCUGGUAGCCAUAUGCGUUGUGGUCUCGGCAAAUGCUCAAGCUCAACUACAGCAGUUUCCGGCACCGUUUCCUUUUCCAUUUCCAUUUCCAUUUCAACCAAUUCGUGGUGUGCCAGGAUUACCUGAUAUAAUGAAAUGUUGGUCAGUAAUGAUGGAUAUCCCUGGAUGUGUUACAGAGAUUUCUCAAUCGAUAUUUACCGGCAAGUUUGGUAACAUAGGUCCUGCUUGUUGCAAAGCUUUUUUGGAUGCCGAAGCCAAUUGCAUGCCGAAAAUCCCAUUCAUUCCGUUUUUCCCUCCUAUGCUAAUGCUAAAGGAACGAUGUUCAAGAACUGCCGGUGCAGCCCCUCCACAAAAUAGAGUUUAAGUUUUAGUUUUUUACUUCUCCUUUUUAAAACAAAACAAAAACAAUUUAGCUAUUUCAACAAUGUUAUACCCCAAUAAGAAUACGACGAUAUUAUAGUAGCACUUUUAAGUUAACCAUAUCUCAUAUCAAACAUCGAGUUCAUUAUAAAUUAAGUCUCUCAAGAUUAAGUUAACCCUCUCAAGAUUUUACACUGAUAAGUAAAAUCCUAUUUUAGCAAGUUUCUAAUAAAGGCUAAUAUAAUUUUCUAAAACCAUAAAGAAGACACAACUAGAAUGAGAAGCCCAAAAGCUAAAAUCUUCGUGGGCCGAACCGAACCGAACUGAACUCAACUGAACUAAACUAAACUCCGUACUUUUGUUCCGUUCUCUCACUCCUUUUUUUCUCUCUUUCUCCGUCUGUCGCUGUCUCGCUCGUCCUCUCCUCUGUUUCGUAGCUUCUGCAGCAGAUCUCUCUUUGUCCUUCUCUCCCUCAGAUCACUGUAAGUACACAACUACACUUCUUUCCUCAUUCGAUCUGUUGUUUCUUUUACUCUUCCUUGAUUUGCUCCAAUCUAAAUCUCUCCCUUUUCUUUCUUUCUAUAUCGAGCUUGAUCUGACUCCUUCUUUUAAUAUACUUUUUUCUCCUCGAUUCGUUUUUGUGAGAAACAUGUUCUGCUUUCAUUAAUUAUUGCUACUUCGUUUCUGAAUUUGUGUUGUUCUUGCAAUAAGUGUUUUGAUCUUUAUUUUUUUUUAGGGUUUUUGUGUGUGUUUGAGCUUAAUUUCAUCUUCAACAGUGAAAUCAUAGACUUUCUAUUAGAUCGUUGACUUUCGAAUUUGCCCUUUAGGUUAUUCAUCUAAACGAUUUAGUUCAGAGAAGAUUGUCUCCAAAAAUUACUAAAAAAAGACAGCGCAUAGCUUGAUUAAUUGUUAAUCUUAAACUGAAGUUAAUGUAAAAUUUUGAUUCUCACUGUGUGUAUAUAUAUGUAUGUAGAUGGCACAGCAGGAAGCUAGCCCUUCCCCUGGUGCUGAGGUUGUUGGUCGUGCCUUUGUGGAGCAAUACUAUCAUAUUCUUCACCAAUCUCCCGGUUUAGUCUAUCGGUUUUAUCAGGAUUCGAGCUUGUUAACCCGACCUGAUGUUACCGGUGCUGUGACUACUGUCACAACUAUGCAAGUGAGAUGGGAUUAUAUAAGUUAAUUACUAUAACAUUGCCAUGUUGUUCUCUUCUAAGUUAUAUAUAUAUUAAUAUGGUUCCAUUUCGGAUUUCAGGCGAUCAACGAUAAGAUUCUUUCAUUGAAAUAUGAAGACUACACGGCCGAGAUAGAAACUGCGGAUGCUCAGGAGUCUCAUGAGAAAGGCGUUAUUGUGUUGGUUACAGGACACUUAACCGGAAAUGAUAAUGUGAGGAAGAAGUUCAGUCAAACUUUUUUCUUGGCUCCACAAGACAAGGGAUACUUUGUCUUGAAUGACGUGUUUCGAUUCCUCGAGGAGAAAGAGGUAACCGCACAAGCCCGUUCUGUCACAAUCAAUGGAACUACCAGGGAUGUUCAGGCUCCUGUGGAACCAGGUAAGAUGAAAGAUCAAUGUGUUUUCUUUUUCUUACAACAUAGCACAUGGUUAUAUAGGUUAGGAUCUUAACAUUCCCUUACAUCUUGUCAGAACGUGUUGUCGUUAGUCAUGAGGCUGAGGUAGAACCUGAGCCAGUUGCUUCUAUUGAGGAGGAAGAUCUUGACAAUGUCGCGGAGGUGUAUGAUCCUUCUGAUAAAGAUGAAGGAGUUGUUGUUGACGUUGAGCCUAUCAAACCCCCAACUCAAUUAAGUCAUAAUGAAGUUGUAUCAGUGUCUCAAGGAGAUGCUCCUAAGCAUUCUUAUGCUUCAAUCGUAAGUCAAAACUGCCUACUAACUAACUGUUUUUUUUUCUGUUGUUUCCUAAUAAUUUUGUCGUUUUUAGUAAACCUUAAUGAAGUCUUUAUGUGUUUGAACAGCUCAAACUGAUGAAUAGCGGUCCAGCACCAACACAAGUUGCUCGGAACAAGCCAAGAGCAGCUCCAGUCAGUACCAACCAGAAGCCGACCGGUCGUCCUUCUGAGCCUGUGGCAGCACCCGAGGCUUCAGCUCAUGAGAAUGUACCAAAUAGUAGCCAUGUUGAUGUGGAAGGUCCGUAAAUUCUUUUCAUUUUGCUGUUAUCCGCAAUUCCCUUGGAUAUUGAUUUUGUUACUCUUUGUAUUUACUCUUGCAAUGUGAUUUCAGAUGAUGGCCAUUCUAUUUAUGUCCGAAAUUUACCUUUCGACUCCACACCAACACAACUUGAAGAGGUUUUCAAAAACUUUGGUGCAAUCAAGCAUGAGGGCAUUCAAGUCAGAAGCAAUAAGGUUUGAUAUAUAAUUCUUUAAUCUCUUCCAAAAAAAACGCCUAGCUUAUCGGUUCCUUACACGUUUUUGUGACUCUCAGCAGCAAGGUUUCUGUUUUGGUUUUGUGGAAUUUGAAACAUCUAGCGGAAAGCAGAGUGCGCUUGAUGUAAGUCAUACCCUUGAACAUUAUCCUUUUACCUCGUUGAAUCCUAAGUCUUUCCGAGCUCGUGCAUCUGCUGUAUGUUAUGGUUUACUUUAAAACUCUUGACUCUUUGGUUGGUACAUGUAGGCCUCACCGAUUACGAUUGGGGAUCGCCAAGCUGUUGUAGAGGAAAAGAAAACAAAUAGUCGAGGUAAGAAACAUGAGAGGCCUCAUCAAGAAAAAGCUGGUACAUGAGGUUAUUGUGUAUUGAAAAGAUGUAGUUUAAUCAUUUUUUGGUUGCAGGAGGAGGCAACAACGGAGGCAGUAGGGGAAGGUACUUUUCUGGAAGAGGAAGCUUCCGAAAUGAAAGUUUCAAAGGAGGACGUGGUGGUGGAGGAAGAGGGGGAGGCUACGGCAGAGGAGGAGGUGAGUUUUCUGGCAGACCAAAGAGCUCAAACCCACGAAAUGGAGGAGAAGGUUACCAAAGGGUUCCUCAAAACGGAGGAGGGGGAAGAGGAGGCCGCGGAGAAGGAGGCCGUGGUGGGCCUCGAGGUGGUGCUUCAUCUUGACUUUGAUAUUAAUGGGGGGCCUUCAUCCACAAGAGAGUAGUUUUAAUUUUUGUUUUUGUUUUGCAUCUUUUUUUUCUGCCUACUACUUGAGCUGAGUUGAUGUGGCUAGUCCUUUUUGGCCUUUUUUGUUGGUUUAGUUUUCAAUAUUCUUGCAUUUUUUUGCCUUCGUUUUUGUUUUUCAUCCUUAAAUCUUUCUUUGGGGUACUUACUGUAUGUGCCUCGUCAUCAACAUUCAAUUUCAUAAGAAAUCCAUUAUAAAGUUGUGUUCUUUAUGCAAAUAUGUUCUUAGUGUUUUUUAAAAAAGUUAGAGCAGAAGAAGUGGACAAGACCGGCUUAUUUUGAUUCACAGCAUUAGGGAAAAGUUGCACAUAUAUAAUUGGGAUCGAAUAAACCAGAUUUCUGCAGAUUGGAUAUUUAGAAAAAAAAAAGAGCUGCAGAGCCACCAAGAACAGAAACCUGAGCUUUCAAACAUUUUUUAAAUUUUGAUACAUAAUUUCAGUCUUUAAGAAACAAAGCUAAAAGAAAAGAAAAAUACAGAUUACGAGUGCACAAAAUUGAUUUAAUUUCCCAAAGUUCAUAUGGAAAACUUCAGUGAGAUAGCCAUUUUAUCUUUUGAACUUCUUAGAAGUUUUCUUGUCUUUGCCACCUCUGUCCUUGUUACCUCCCAAGAACCUCUCACUCUCUUCAUCAUCUUCUCCCCUUCUCUUCUUCCUACCCCCUGACUCUUUCAUAUUCUAUAACAUAAAUUGCCACACAAAAAAGAAAAAACACAUAACUGAAGUUAAAAGCAAAAAAACCUAAAGCCUUUUAACAUGAAGUAGUAAAAGUGAAGAGUAAAUAUACCAUUGCAGAUAACUUUUUCGCUUCUGCAACUCUCUCUAACAAUGACAAGACUUCGUCUUCCUCAGCAGGAUAUUCUGGGAGCUUUUUGCCUGAGCGUGAAAACAUAGUCAAAUGUCUGUAUCCCAUGACCAAACAAAAUAAUAAAAUGUAACUCGCAGGUCAUCUACUUACCGAUUAGUUUUUCUAUUUGUAUAUACCAUUCGAGCUCAUACUGGUUUACUAGUGAUAUUCCGACACCAGAACGUCCAGCACGAGCAGUUCUUCCAACUCUGUGGAUGUAAUCCUAUGAACCAAAUUUGGAAGAUCAAUGUGCGUUCUCAAGAUCAUGGAUUCAUGAAAAACAAGAACGAAAAAAUCAUAUCCAUCUGAAGAAAGAAAAGGGCUAACCUUUGAAUUUGUGGGAAUGUCAUAGUUUAUAACAACAUCAACUGAUGGAAUAUCCAGCCCUCUACUAGCCACAUCAGUACAAACCAAGAUAUUACAUUCCCCUGCUUUGAACUUAUUUAAAGCUCCGAGUCUCUUUGACUGUGUAUAAUAUAUCGAAAAGAAUGAGAAACUAUUGAGAAUAAAAAGUCGAGAAUGUUCAAUAGUAGGGAGUGCAACAUUUACCUGAGUCAUUUGACCACUGAUAGGAAUGGCUCUAAAACCAAGACUCCGAAGCACCAAAGCCAGAAAACGAGUACCAUCACAUGUUCGGGUGAAAAUCAUUGAUGUUGAUUCAGGCAUUUCACUAAGAAUGUAUACAAGAUAGCAAUCCUGUUACAGUGAACAAAUAAGCUGAUUACAGUGAAGAAGAUAAAAUCUUUUCUGUCUUUGCUACAUUCUGUGAUGUAAAUAAGGUACCUUGUAUUUAGCGGCAACAAACCGAUACUGCUGCUUAAGAGUAUCGACUGUGGAAUAUUUGGAGGCAGCUUCAAUCUGGAGGAAAGCAACAAACAUACAACUGUUAUACCUCAAACUAUGAUAGCUGUGACAAAAAAAAAAAUUCAAGUCAUUUGGUGUUUCCAUACCUUCACAGGAUUCCUCAAACAUGCCCUUUGAAGUUUCCGAACCUAAGAGGACAAACAAUUUCAGUAACUUUAAUCAAUUGUUCCUUUAGAUCUUCCACUUCACAAGAUUAUAGAGAGAUGGUUUGAUCGAUAAAAACCUUUUUAGUCAUAGUAGCUGAAAAAAGAAAUGUUCUUCGUUCACGAGGGAUCUCUUCCAAAAUCUGGUUAAGAGAUUUCUCAAAAUCUUCAUUCAGCAGCCUAUCUGCUUCAUCAAGAACCUGUUAAAAAAUGUGAAGUAAAUACCAAAAUGAUAUGAUCUAAGAACAGAUAAACCAAAACGGAAAAGCCCAAAGAUAAAACAUUAGUAUACCAGAUAUUUCAAUGAUUUGAGAGAAAACCCCUUUGUGUCAGACAUAUGAUCCCAAAGACGACCAGGUGUGGCAACCUAUGAAACAACAUACCCUAGUUAGUUACAAGAUUCACUUAUGUUAAGUGCAGUGACUCAAACAAAUAAUUAGAACAUAAAACGUACAAUAACAUGAGGGCGUUUCCCAAGAGCAAUAGUUUGUUGCAUCCUGUCUAUACCUCCAACAAGCUGAAAAAAUCAGAAAACGUAUUCAGUUCUAAACAUAUUCAACUGUCGUGGAAACAGGAAGAUUUAUAUUAUGAUAAACAUGAUUAAAACAGGAGCUUACCACAGCACACCGAAGACUUAUAUCAGCUCCUAGAGCUUCAAACUGCUCAGCAAUCUGGAUUGCAAGCUCUCUGGAGAGAAGGAACAUAUAAGAAUCAAAUCAUCCCAUAAAAAUGAGGAAACAAUGUAAACGCUAGGAGAAACUGGGGAGGCAAAUCAUACCGAGUUGGAGAUAAAACACAAGCGAAGAAGGCAGGAUCAGGUCUACGUCCUUUCUUAGGCUCAGAAUCAUAAACAUACUCAAGAAGAGCUUGCAAUAUAGGAAUCGCAAAGGCUCCAGUUUUACCAGAACCGGUUUGCGCAAGUCCAAUUACAUCUUUCCCUGAAAGAGGCAUUAGCACAUCAGAUUCAGUUAAUUGUAUGAUAAACCCUAAUUAUAACAUAAAAAUGGUUUAAGCUUCUCAAUCUCGGAAAAACAUAAACACAGAGCUAGGAAUCCAAUCGUACGGAAACACAUCAAUGAGAAUCAUCAUCCCAAAGUAUAAGCCGCAUACAAAAAAAAAAGUUACCUUCAAGAGCAAAAGGAAGGGCUUCGGCUUGAAUUUUGGAAGGUUUCUUCCAUCCCAAUCUCUCACAAGCUUGCACAAGCUCCUCACGCACACCAAGUUCUGCAAACGUCUUCACCACUUCGUCCUCUUCCUCCAUUUCAAUACCCACCAACAAAUUCACUAUCUCCUGGACUUCAAAGAAGACUCUAAAGGAAUCAAACAGCGUUACGAAAAAUCGCGUCAGUAAGAUUUCCGGCGAGAUUCAGAGCUUUAGAUAAAUCGAGCUGCGUUGCGUUAGGGUACAAAUCAGAAGCGACUCUAGUCUUUGCUAAGAAAGAGUGAGACAAAAAGUGUAAGUUUUAUUUUUGGCUACGAAGGGUUUUAGUUAGGGUUAUGAAAUAUUAGCAUUAUUGGAUCAAGUAUGGGCCUUGUUUACAUUACUUUGGUCUCAACAAAAGCCCAUCUAAUUGGUCAAAAUCUUUAUCUGAUUUAUAAGGUGAAGAACUAAAAGCCAAUUCUAAGGUUAACCUUAAAUUAAAUAUAUGAACUGAAGAAUAACUUUAUAUUACAAGCAAAGUUUUGACACGUUUGAUAGAAAAAAAAAUGUGAACACUUGAAAAAACUACUGAGAUGCUUUAUUCUUGUUGGAGAUGUCUUGGAGCAAUAAUCUUGCUUCAGCAGCAAAAUCAACAGGGGCUACUCCUUUCACAGUUACCCUUUGCCUCUUCUCUCCGUUAUACUCAUUCUGAGUGACACUAACACGGAAGACAUGAGAUGACCACGUUGCUUCUUUCAGUCUUGUCUGAUACUCAUUCACUUCUCCUUCCUGCAAACAAAUUAUAUCUAAAUUAAAUCUGACAUUCUAAACUCGAAAUGCUCACUACUACCUUUUACAGGUUUCUUUAAUCUUACCUCUGAUCUUAGUUUGUUGAGCUCGUCAGCUGAACACCCAAGUAUCUUCUCUGCUUCAUCGUUGAAUGAGGAAAUCCAAGUUUCUCCAGAUGAGUCGGUGACUUUAACCGCCAUUAUGUACCUAACAACGACCAAAGUUGACAUAUUUGAGAUGUCUGAGAAAGGAAGUUCAGAUUCUAACCAAGUUUUGUUCUAUGAAUCUGACUAUCUUACCUUAAGCUGCAUUCUUCAUAUUUUUUCUGGCAUCCUUCACACCAGUAACCAGAGUCAAGUGCUUCAGUCACUUUCUUGUUACAAGUCUUACAAGCUUGGUACCACAUUGUCUGGUCUGGUUUGAUGAAGCUUACGUAAGCCCUGGUGCUGAAAAAUACAGGCUGCAACAGAAAUCCAAGUUCAUAGUAAGUUUUUAACUCUACCAUUAAGAAAUAAGAAGUUUAGGUUCAAGACUUGAAUUUCAGUGUUUAGUACCUUUUCUUCGCCUAAAGAUGGGUUGCUUGUGAUGUGAGAGAGAAGGACUCGGUCAGUAUACAUAGACCGAGAUCCAUUCUUGGUAGCUGGGCUCAUCCCUGAGCCAAUGGAGGACAUGGAUAUUUCCUUGCCUUCAGAAUCGAACCUGCAAUUGUCAAAGAGAACGAUGAUUAACCAAACGUAGACAAGUUUCAUAAUUUUAUUUUACCAGCUGACUCAACCCAAAAGGCAUACCAAGAUUUCAGCUUUUUAGCUUCUGGUGAUACUGGGUUUAUAACAACAUUGCUUCUGCUGAUGGUGGACAAGGAAACACCUGCAGAUAUUGGAUACUAUCAGCAAUAGGUUCAAUCAAAUGUGAUUUCACAUACUGUUAAGUAAUAAUAAAUACUAUCAAGUAUCAAUGAUCAAAUCAACAUUACCUUGAAAAUCUCCAACUUUGAGAGACUUGAUUGCAAUCACAGGUGACUUAUCAGCCAUGUCUAGUAGCUCUUGACCUAUGCCAGUUGCAAGGUCGUUCCACAGGGACACCACAACAGUUUUCUUAGACUCAUCAGCCAAAGUUAUAUCCCUCUUAGGGAUCAUCUCAUUGUCAGUUCUCCUUCUAAUACUCAUGGUAGGAGAUACACUUUGAACAACUCCGAUAAGAUCUGGAAAGAGCAAAACAUGCAAGUUAUUAUCACAACCAAUGUAUGAUUUACCAGCAAAAAGAAUGUUCAAUGAAAAAACGACCCUUACCAAUGAGUUCCUUCUGAUUAACAUACAAACCCAAAUCUUCAAUGGGUAUAAAGUUGAAUUUUGUCUCAGGGAUGAACAUUUCUUCGCUACUAGCUUCCUCAACCUCCGAGUUAUCAUUCAGUGUCAUCUCAUAAUCAUUUUGAACCGUCUUGAACUGCUUGUUAGCAAGUUUAAGUGAUCCCCUUGAUAUAUAAUAGACCUUUCCUAAUUGGAAUCUGUCAUAGAACUUCCUUGCAGCAUCAUUAAACAUCGUUGCUUGAAUUUGUGUUCCCUAUAUCAAAGCCAAAUAAACAAUAUAAGUAAGCACAUAAAAGUCUACACCAAGUUCGAGAUAUAGUAAAUUGGGAGGGAGCUUUUCUUACUUCUUCAUCUGUUAGUUCCACGUUGAAGACACACCCUUCUCCUCUAGCGUUCUUGUAGUUUCUCAUGACUCCCUUGUUUGUAACUCGGACUUUGAUGGUCCAGUUGCCUUGAUAGGGAUUCAAGGACACAAGUGGGUGAACCCUUCUAGUCAUGGCCAUUCUUGCAGCUGGAGCGGCACUGAAAAAAAACUCAAACACGUUUAAGCAAAACACACAUAAUAAUUAUUUGGCAGAGAAGAUAAUAAAGAAAUAAAGAGAAUUGACUUACUUUCCCCUUUGUUCACUCAUUAUCUGAGAAGCUGAUUUGGAUACAAAUUCCUGCUUCGGUUUCAAAGUGAUACCAGUAGAAACAUCCAUCUUAACAUCAUUCACAGGAGUGACAGGAGAGUGCUCAAGUUUCUGCUUCUUGGGCACACUAGCCUCCUCGUCGCUCUUACUCUCCAAGUUAAUCUCAGCAUCAAGCACAGAACCAACAGCUUCACAUUUUGUGACAAGGAAAUAUCUGACACAGAGACAAGAGAGAAACACAAAUGUCAGAAACUUUUGAUAUCAAGAAUCGAGACAACAAAGUGAUUAUCCAUUAUAAAAAAAAAAGACUCUUACUUUGUUGCUUUGCUUGAAAUGUCGUUAACAGUGAAAUCGAUGAGACGAAUUAGACCCAAAUUCUGAAUUUUUCCAGAUAUAAUUUCAGGUGUUAGUGAAGCUGUAAACAUGGCUUUGAGUUUCGUCUUUCCGUCAUUUGCACUAAAUCUGUAAACCGAAAUCAAAACAUGUAAACGAACACAAUCAGAUCAAAUUCGAAGAAAACAAAACACUAGAUCCAUCAAAACAAAAAUCAAUACUUUAUCAGAUCCGUUACUAAAACCCAAAUCUACGGAUUAAAAAUAAAAAUAAAAAAGUCUCAUAACAAAAACCCAGAUCUCAUAUCAUAUCGAAAUCUAGCUAUCCAUUGAGAUUGGGAUGACGAACACUAAUCUAGAGCCGGAGCAAGCGGGAGAGAAUAAGGGAAAUUAAAACAUAACACAGAUAAUUAAAAAAAGCAGCGAAGCUUACGUAUAUCUAUUUCCAAUAGGCUUAAGAUCGACGACUUGAACAACGAUCUCAGGACGAUCAGAGGAGGAAUCAAAGGAAGGGUUCGACAAAACGGUGGAAAUAGCACCAGCGGUCACUGAAGUCUGCAUCUUUUCUCUUUCUCUCUCUCUCUCUCGAUUGAAACGUUUAGAUUUCUCCUUGAUCAGAACGGCGAAACCCAAAACAAGGUGUGUGUGACUGUGAGUGAGGGCAAAGAGAGGUGGAAGGGUUUUGUAAAGGUGAGAGUUUUGAGCGGGAGCUAUUCAUUUCAAUUAAUUAGUACCCCGCUCCUUUUUUCAGUAUAUUACCUUUUCUUUUUGGCGCAUUUUUUCCCAUUUUGGUGUAUUUUUGUUUAGUAAUGGGCUUUCUUAUUUAAAUUUACAAAGCCUAGUUCAGGCCCAUUAUUGUAAUCAAAGCCCUUAAACCCAAGUAAACUGAGAAGUCAAAUAUUUGACCACCACGAGAAGCAAAAGAAAAAAAUGGUGAACUAAGAAAGCCCAUUACUUACAUGAAUUGUUAAUUGACAGUUUUAAAAAGUUAAUUACAUGAAUUGUUUCUCCACCUUCACUCACAAAAAAAGUCAUUGUCCCAAAAUGGCAUCAUUAGUAGCUGUUUCCACGUGUGAUUGGUUUGAAAGUUUUGCAUGUUAAUUUGAUAAACCACAUAUCACGUUACUAGAAACUGUUUCUAACAAUUUACAAUUUUGUUAUGUGUAUUUCCACGAAAUACUAUUAUUCAUAUAUUCGAAAUUUGUAUAAAACAAAAACGUCUAGUCGUAAUCAUACUCAAUCCCAGACUAAAUAAUAGUAUUAUAACAAUCUCUAAUCAUAAAUAAAUAUUACAUGUUUUUAAUUUAUUCGGCUCUUAAAAUAUACGAUUUCAUUGCGUGAGCCAAACAUUUAUUUAAAUUUAUAUGAAGAGAAAAUUAAAACCAAAUGUUGUCACCCUACACACAUUUUACACUUUAUGACUUAUGAGCUGUUGUCAAUCAACUACUCUCGUUUGAGAGCCGCACAUUAUUAAUCAAUCGGACGGUUACGAUCAAGACAUGUACCCGCGAUUUUUUUCUCUCGUCCACGAGGCCAGUCAAACUUCAAGUAUUGACUAUUAUACUAAUCAACUUUAUAUUAUAGUAAUUUCUAGUUGUACCCCCUAGUUUUCUAAAUCUUAUAAAGUUAUCCCUAAUUUAUUUAAUAACUCCAAAAAUUUAAUUAAAAAAUGUGGGUGAUAUUAGAGAAAACAAAUUAAAUUUCUGUUUACUGUUAUUGUUAAGGGUGAUAUUAGUAAUUAACAAGAAAUAGUAAGGUCAUUUCUGAUGUGUUAUAAAUUAUAUUUUCUAUCCCCAAAAUUAAGUUUCCCUUUGUAUUCGUCGUCCCCUCAAUGUGUGGAAGUCAAUGGCAGGAUCCACUUCAAGAUAUCCUUGGCGGCCUUAAAAUCUCAGAGACUAAUAAAUAAACAAACAAAAACUGUGAAAUUUUUAUCAUUUUUUUUCUCAACAUUUCGCUAUCUUACGAAAUUACGGGUUCGUCUUCGUUCCAAUACUAAUUCCAUUUUACAACUUUAUGUUUUUUUUUAUAAAUAGAGUUGCUUGCACCACAAAUUCUUUUCCUUUCCUUCUUCCUCUUCCCCAAUAAUCUCUUGCUCUUUCCUCAAAAAUCUCUUCUUUGCUGGUAUAGAAAUCGAAAUCAGAAGCUUUUUUCAUUUCCUUUUUUUUUUUUUUUUUAAAUUUCAUCUUCUCCCCGAAAAACUUGGAGUGUGGUCGUUUCACGGUACGUUCUAUUUUGUUCGAUCACCAAGUCCAAGUGUAUGCUAAAAUGUUUUUGUGAAUUCAAAAGUAUCUGGUUUUACUCAAAAUCUCUCCUUUUUUUUCUUUACAGAAGCAAGAGAGCCGUUGACUUGGACUUUUUCUUUUGGGGGUGUUGUGUGGGAUUAUAGUAAUGGUCUUGUGAGGAGGAAGAGAUGUUGGAUUUGAAGAGGGCUUCACUCAUCUUUUACCACAAGUAUGUCAACUGGAUUAAGCUUAAGUAGUUAUGGUUUUUACCAUGUUCAUGUGGGGAUUCCUCUUCCUCUCUGUUUACUUCAUUCCGAGAUGACUUAAAAGAGUUUUUUCAAGUCUAGUUAUUGGGAUUAAGCUUAUCUAGUCAUUACUUUAUACAAACAGCCCUUACUUUAUUUGCUGACUGAUCAAACAGUUUCCAUUAGUAUAAAUCUUUACUGCUUCCCUCAUUUGUGCUUUUCACCUUUAAAGACUCGACUUUUCCUCUCUGCUACCGUGUUUGGGUAUGGAUGAGUUUGAAUCCAAGCUUCCUGUUUCCGGGGUAAAAAACCAUGUCUUUGAGGCAUGUCACCAUGUUGUAAAGGCACUGAGGGCGUCUGAUAACAACCUCGACGCCAACUUGAGAAAGCUACUAAGUGACCUAGAGUCGCAUUUGUCAACAUUUGGGAUUGCUGAUACCAAAGUUGAAGAUACAGGAUUCUCUGAGAUCGAGGUGAGAUUCAAAGAAUCUGUGAAGACAAUCCUCAGUUGGGAAACAAACCACUCAACCAUUUUGGAGUCUGGUCCGUCUGAAGCUGAUCACUUUUUUCAAGCCUUGUAUGAAGUUCAAACAGUUGUUAUGGGUUUCAAAGCUUUGCCCAUGAAAACUAACCAGAAGGAGAAAGAUGUUUACAACCAAGCUACGGUUGCUCUUGACAUCGCGAUGUUGAGGCUUGAGAAAGAGCUCUAUGAUGUUCUGCAUCAGCACAAGCAGUGUGUACAGCCUGAAUACUUGGCUGUUAGUUCUCGUAGAAAGGAUAUUGUGUAUGACGAGUCCUUUGUCUCCCUAGAUGAUGUUGAAGUUGUUGUCGAAGCUUCUUCACACGAAGAUGAUGAACAGAUAUCAGAAUUCUGUAAUUCUGAUUUAAUUGAUCCCAGCGUCCUUCCUCACAUCAAAGCUAUUGCAAAUACCAUGUUUGCUUGUGAGUAUGAUCAAGCAUUCUGUGAAGCUUUCAUCAGCGUUCAAAGAGAAGCUCUGGAUGAGUAUAUGGUCACUCUCGAUAUGGAAAGAUUCAGCUGCGUCGAUGUUCUUACAAUGGAAUGGAAUGAUUUGAAAUUGAAUGGUGCGAUGAGAGAAUGGACAAGGGUUGUUAAAAACAUUUCUCAUGUCUAUCUCCCUAGUGAAAAGCAGCUCUGUGAACAGAUCUUGGGAGACUUUGAGUCAGUUUCUUCCGCGUGCUUCAUCGAAAUCUCAAAAGAUACAGUUCUAUCUCUCCUCAACUUUGGUGAAGCUGUAGCACUGCGACCUUGCCAGCCAGAAAUGCUUGAGCGCUUCCUUAGUAUGUAUGAGGUUUCAGCAGAGAUUCUCUUGGAUGUUGAUAACCUCUUCCUGGAUGAAUCAGGCUCGUUUCUAAGGAUGGCAUUCCACGAGCUAUCAAAACACCUAGCUGAUCAUACAACCGCAACCUUCUUAAAGUUCAAAAACGCAAUAGCCUUAAAUGAAUCUGCACACCCCUUUCCUGGAGGCGGUGUUCAUCACUUGACCAGGUAUGUAAUGAACUACCUGAAGCUUCUCCCGCAGUACGCAGAUACCAUAAACUCACUUCUUGAGAACAUAAAUGUUGACGACUCAAUCCCCGAGAAAACAGGACAAGACGUCCUCCCUUUGACAUUCUCUCCAAUGGCUAGGCACCUUCGGUCAAUCGUCACAACUCUGGAAUCCAACCUCGAGCGAAAAGCUCAGCUUUAUGCAGACGAAUCACUCAAAUCUAUUUUUCUGAUGAACAACUUCCGUUACAUAGUCCAGAAAGUAAAGGGAUCAGAGCUGAGACACUUGUUUGGAGAUGAAUGGAUCAGGAAGCACAUUGCAAGGUAUCAACGCGAUGUCACAAAUUACGAGAGAUCCACAUGGAGCUCUAUACUCGCUUUGCUCACAGACAACAACAACAAUUCUGUAAAAACACUGAGAGACAGAUGCAGACUCUUCAGUCUUGCCUUUGAUGAUGUUUACAAGAAGCAAACCCGUUGGUUAGUCCCUGAUCCAGAACUUCGCGAUGAUCUUCACAUCUCGACCUCUGUCAAGGUUGUUCAGUCUUACAGGGGAUUUCUUGGAAGAAAUGCAACUCGUAUAGGCGAAAAACAUAUCCGAUACACUUGUGAAGACAUUGAAAAUUUGCUCCUUGAUCUAUUUGAGUGUUUGCCAUCUUCAAGAUCAUUGCGCAGUUCUCGUAGGAGAUGAUGAUUAUGACUCGAGCCUCAUGGACUCUUAUCUUUGUUCUUUUGAUCUUUUGUUAUUUACUUACGCAUGCAGUGAUUUGUGAUUUUAACAUGUAAAUAAGGUAGUAUAAUUUUUAUACUCCAUUGUGGGGAUGUACUUGAUUUGCAUAAUUUAAUUAAUCGGGGGGGGGGGGGGGGGUAUGUGAUAUCAUAUCACUGAUAUGGUCCUCUUUGGCAGAAAACUGUCGAAAAACCACCAGAUUCAGUUUCUGUAGCCUUGUUGCGUAUGUCCUGCUUGCUUUUUUUUUUUUUUUUGCUAAAUGUCCUGCUUGCUUUUGCUAACACUGAACCUAUAAUGUAGCUUUAAUAUAGUGAUAGAAUGGAGAAUAACAUAUUCCAGUUUAUGGAAGUCUACAAUGCUUGUGUUCAUCGUAGUACACUCAACUUAUUUUGAUAUAUACGCAACAACCAAAGUGUUGUUAUUACCGUGUGUUUCGUUGCUGAAAGUGAAAAUGUUUAAUAAGUUAGUAAGCCUGCAGCCGAAGAAGACAAGAGGGAGUCGUUGCUCAGACGAUUUUGAUGCUAGGCCAUAUUCUCUUUAUCGAUAACUGACUGAAACUGACUAGCUGACAAAAGCAAACAUUAAUUGGACCAAAACAAAAUAUGGACAAAGUUUUAUAAUAUUACGAGUUAUAGCAAAUGUUUGUUUCCUGCAUUCGGAUAUGACGCAUAUGCUAAAUGUAUCUUUUACUGGUCUUGGCUGAAAGAAAAUAUAAGAUUGAAUAAGCAGAUUCAACAUCAAUCUUUGCACAUACCCUCAUAUAUUGGACCAUCACUAAAGAGAUAGAGAUUAACUGAAAGAUGAUGAAUGCUCUCAAGCCAAAACUUCAUCUACUAAGGCUACUACCCUCAACUCGGUUCCAACAAAAGUAAACAAAAAAGUCUGCAAAUUUUGGAAUGGAAACAAAACUAGGGAAACGCCCUAAAUAGCCUAAAACAGCCCACCCAGUUCCCCCUUAAAACCAAAGGUUGGUUCAGCAGGCAGUAGCAACAGCAUUCUUUUCGACAGCUAACUCGUUCUCUUUCACCAC